This 79518-nucleotide long non-coding RNA is filed under the name Olea europaea (common olive). RNAcentral describes it as "long non-coding RNA (OEUR_LNC008879)". Lineage: Eukaryota; Viridiplantae; Streptophyta; Magnoliopsida; Lamiales; Oleaceae. The record is from RNAcentral.
AGCUUCAUGAUCCAAUGGAAGGCUUGGAGGAAAUAGCCAACGCGAGUGGGGUUAAAGGAUACGCUUAUUGUGGUGGGCUUGGUCAUCGUAUCCGUGAUUGCCCCAAGUUAGAGUAUCAGAAGAGCAUGCAAAUUACUAGCUUGAGGAGGGAUUAUUUCGGGUCUGGAGGUUACCGAGGGGAGAUGUGAUCGGAAGUUUUUAGACAUAUGAAUUUGUAUUUUGCAAAUAUUUUGAGCAACUCCUUCAGUUCGUAAUGAGCCAACUAUCUAUGUACUUGAAUCUUCGGCGGUGCAUUCAGUUUGAAUGAGCUUCUUUAUCAUUAAUAUUUUUGGCUUUUUUGCUCCUCUGCCUUUACCAUUAGCAGUUCUGAAACUGUAAUUUCUUUUGAAUGAACUGUCUAAAGAAAAAAAGAUUUGAACGUGCCUAUGAUAGUUCGAUAAAUAUUACACCAAAGCAACAAAUUACAUUAGCGGCUGAACUGCUGGAUUCAAAUCUCGCGAUGAAACUAAACUAAAAUUUAUCUGGGAAGAGGCUUAGUUUGAUGAUCAUGUCAAUUGAACUUUUUGGAUUCCUAAACCUAUUGCUCUGGGUCUUAAGUCUCUGGUGAGCAGUGAUGGAUUUGAUUCUUGGAUCAAAACUUGCAGUAGACCAACCCUUCUGUCCUGUAAUUCACCCCAAUCAAAAAUCAAAACAUUAAUGAGGCAGAAAUAACGAACUCCUCAAAUUGGGUAUAAAAAUUAGUCACAGGUAUUGCUAACACGAGCACAUUAUCUUUUCAUCUCAGAGCGUUUAAUUGAUUCUGGUAGAGCUACACAUGUAAGCACGAGCGUACGACUCUGUUUUGAGGCGGCCCAGCCUACCGGAUUUUUGAAUUUACCUUCUUAACACCAUUUCGGACACAAAUGGUACAUUACAAGAUCACAGAUGCUCAACUCUCCCCUCUUAGGCAUGAAAAUCUUUUGGAUUUUUGAUUUACUCAAUUCUUUUAUUUUUGAUUCGAAAAGAAGAAAAGGAAGGAAAAAUUGAAUUUGAAAUGGAGUUCUUUUUACUGGUUAUAGGGAUCGUUUCGUUUUUCUAGGUGUUGGGGAUCCUAGGAGUUCAAUCAACCAAAACAACAACUAAUAGACAAGAUUCAAGGCAAAACAAUGAAAAGGGGAUGGAAAAAUACAACCUGUGUUUGGCCAGAAAUUUGGACAGAUUUUCUCUUUCCUUGCAGCAACUUUCUUCCCUUCUAAUGGCUGUUUUUCAGGUUCAGGAACAGCCUUCCAUGACUUGCUAAUUACCUUCCAAGAGAGAGGGGAAAACUAAUGAAGAACCACCACCCUUUGCUAAAAACCGAGAGCUCACUUUCAGCUGGGAGGAAAAAUCGAGAGCUCUUCUACUUAAAAUGGUAGAGGGUAAGUCUACAUAAGAAGGAAAGACCAUGCCUCUACCAAAAACGUGGGAAGACCUUAUUGUGUCAACAUCAAUACCAUCAAGUCACAAGUUGAUAGUGUUAGGUGAACCAUAUCCUCACAUUCUUCACCUUGGUUCUCCUAACACUCUCUCUUGGUUGCGAAUUUGCAUAUGGAAGAACUGUUCAUCAUCCUCGCCCACUACCUGCAAGAAAAAUUAACCAGUGUCAAUAUGUAAUAAAGAUAAGCACAAUUUAAAUUUACUUGCAGGUAGAAUUUUUGUUCCCAUAUCAGAGGGAUUCCUAUCAGUGUGAAUUUUAACAAGAUUAACUUCACCUUGAGACAGUUUCUCACGAAUAAAAUGAUACUUUACCUCAAUAUGUUUAGUUCUUUCAUGAUAAACAGGAUUUUUACAAAGCAAUAAAGCACUUUGACUAUCAGUAAACAUAACAGGUGUAUCAUGCAUGAAGUUCAAUUCUUUUAAAAUUCCUUUUAACCAAGUACAUUCUUUAACCGCCUCAGUUAUGGCAACAUAUUCUGCCUCAGUACUUGAUAAAGUAACUAAAGGCUGCAGCUGUGACUUCCAUGUUAUACAAUUGUCACCUAGUGUAAAAAAGUACGCUGUGGUAGACUUUCUGCUAUCCUUGUCACCAGCAAAAUCAGAGUCUACAUACCCCUUUAGAGUAAGUUUUUCAGAUUUCUUUUCAUACACUAGACCCAGAUUUAAUGUACCAACAAUGUACCUUAACAACCAUUUCAGACCUGCCCAAUGAGGCUUUCCUGGGUUUGACAUAAAUCUGCUCAAAAAACUUAUAGAAUAGGCUAAGUCAGGCCUGGUUGUUAUCAUAGAGAACAUGACGGAACCUAUAGCAUUAGCGUAGGGUAUGUUCCUCAUUUCUCUAAAUUCCUCCUCAGUCUUAGGAGAUUGUGCACCAGAAAGAUUCAUAUGAGCUGCUAAGGGAACGUUCACAGAUUUUGAUCCAUUCAUACCAAAUUUGGUUAUGACUUUGUUUAGAUAGGCUUCUUGGGAAAUGACUAGUCUAUUUUCAGCCCUAUCUCUCUUUAUAACCAUCCCCAAAAUCUUCUUAGCACUCCCCAAAUCUUUCAUAUCAAAUUCUGAUUUUAAAAGGUUCUUCAUCUUAGUGAUUUCAGUCUUACUUGAACUUGCUAGAAGCAUGUCAUCUACAUACAGCAACAAGUAGACCUCACAGCCCUCCUUACUGUCAUUAUAGUACAUGCAUGCAUCAUAUUCACUCCUUUUAAAGCCUAUCUUCAGUACAUAGGUAUCGAACCUUAUGUACCACUGUCUAGGGCUUUGUUUAAGCCCAUACAGAGAUCUUUCUAAUUUGCACACACAGUUAGUUUUACCUUUUACCUCAAAACCUUGAGGUUGACUCAUGUAAAUAUCCUCUUCCAAUUCCCCAUGUAGGAAAACAGUCUUGACAUCUAGUUGUUUCAGUUCCCAGUUGUACUGAACAACCAAUGCAAGAACCAGUCUGAUUGUUUUGUACUUUAUCACAGGAGACAGUCUGAUUGUUUUGUACUUUAUCACAGGAGAGAAUAUCUCAUUGUAAUCAACCCCUCCUUUUGAGUGAACCCUUUCGCUACUAAUCUGGCCUUAUACCUAGGAGGAUCACUAGGAUUAUUUCCUUCUUUCAAUUUGUAAAUCCACUUACAUUGAACUAGCCUAUGAUCCUUAGGUUUGUUAACUAACUUUCAAGUUUUAUUCUCCAUUAGAGAUUCCAUUUCUUCCCGCAUAGCUUUUAGCCAACUUUCAGAACAUUUUCCAUUAACAGUUUUUUCAUAACUAGCAGGUUCUAUCUGUUCAAGGGCUUCACCUGAAACCAAGGCAAAAUCAGUCAAGUUUAGAGAUUCAUAUCUAGGAUUUGGCCUGAUUUGCCUCCUUUCCCGAUCCCUAGUAAGCUGAUAAUCUUGAUUAGGUGGCUGAUCAUUAAAAUGUUCAACUUCAACUGGUUCAAUGUUAUCUUGAAGUUCAGUCACCUCUUCAGGUUCAGGUUCAGGUUCAAUUUCAAUUUCAUUUUCAUUUUCAUGAUGUAUAGGGUCAUUUUCAUCAUUCCCAGGUGUAGGUGAAUUUAGCCUAGUCAGCUUCACCUAAGUCUGAAUACUCUUCUCAGUUUCAGAUUUGUUAGUUUCUUCGGUUUUCUAUUUUAGACAUGGCAUCUCAGAUUCAUUAAAGACUACAUUCCUGCUGUUAAUAAUCUUAAUGCCUUGGACCCCUAAAACCCAUAACCUAUAGCCCUUCACACCCUCGGGAUACCCUAACAUCACACACUUGACAGCCCUGGGCUCAAGUUUCCCUUCAGAUUGAUGUGCAUAUGCAGCACAUCCAAACACCCUCAAGUGUUCCAGAUUUGGAGGCUCUCCCGUCCACAACUCCUGUGGGGUCUUAAACCCUAUACUGCUGGACGGAGACCUAUUAAUCAGAUAUGCUGCAGUACUUGCAGCUUCAGCCCAAAAACCUUUCGCAAGGCCAGAGCUAAUCAACAUACACCUAACUUUGUUCAUUAUGGUCCUGUUCAUUCUUUCAGCGACCCCAUUUUGUUCAGGUGUGUAUUUAACAGUUCUGUGUCUUGUUAUACCUUUCUGCUUACAGAAGUUGUCAAAUUCGCUAUUACAGAAUUCAAGCUCAUUAUCAGUUUUUAACGUUUUAAGUUUCUUAUCUAACUGAUUCUCAACAGACUUUAACCAAAUCCUGAAUUUUUCAAAAGUUUUCGACUUAGCCUUCAAAGGAUAAAUCCAAACCUUUCUUGAGUAAUCAUCCACUAAGGACAAGAAGUACUUGCUCCCACCAAAUGUGGAGUGCUUCUCCGGGCCCCAUAGAUCAGCAUGGACAUAGUCCAAUGGUCUGCUGGUCCUAUGAGAGCUAGCUUCAAAGCUCACCUUAUGAGACUUACCCAAAACACAAGUUUCACAGAAUUCCAUAGUUUCAAUGUCAUCUUUUCCAAGUAAUUUCUGAUUACUUAAAGAUUUUAGACCUUUAAACCCAAUGUGACCCAUUCUGUUAUGCCAAAGUUCAGUUUUGUCUUUACUCAUAGCAAGAAGGCUAAAAUCAAAUGGUAUUUCAGUUCUACCCUCAAGAUACUACAGCCCAUUCCUCUUGGGCCCCUUCAUAACUAUAAGAGAACCCUUCAUAAUUUUCAAAAUCUUGUUACCAGACUUGAAGGUAUAUCCCUCAUCUUUCAGAGAACCUAAGGAAAUGAGGUUCCUCUUUAAAUUUGGGACAUAUCUAACAUUUCUAAGUUGCGUGACGGCCCCAUCGUACAUCCUGAUGGCUAUGUCACCAACUCCAAUCACAUUUUGAGAAUUAUUGUCUCCCAUGUAGACCUUCCUAGGUUCAGUCUCCCUAUAGUUAUAAAACCAAGACCUAUCAGGGCACAUAUGGAAAGUGCACCCUGUGUCAAGAAUCCAAUUUUUGUCAAAUUCUUCUUCAGACACAUUCAUGACAUGCAAACUAUUAAAUUCAGUAGCAAUAGCAGCAUUAUCAACAUCAGAAUUGUUUUGGUCUUUUUGUUUCCUUUUGCAAUCAAAGCAGCCUUUCUUGAAAUGUCCUAACUUUCCACAGUGAUAACAUUUCUUACCGCUUUUAUCUUUAGAUUUGGAUCUCAUUUUAGAUUUUCCUCUCCCCUUCUUGUUAUGGAAGUUGAAUUCUUUCUUUUCAGAUCUUCCCCUAACAAAUAGACUCCCUUCACGAGAAUGAAUUCUGUUUUCUCUUUUUAAUUCAAGUUCUCUUGAUUUUAAAGCAUCAGAAACAAUAGCUUGAGUGAGAGUGUCCCUACCAUACUUUAUGGCAUUUUUCAUUUCUCUGUAAGAUUAGGGCAAAGUGUUUAGCAAUAUGACAGCUAAAUCCUCAUCAUCAAAUGUUUUAUCAUUAUGAGCUAAACUCUUAACAAUUAUGCUAAAGUCACUCAAAUUCCCCUCGACAUCCUUCCCCGGGUCCAUCUUAAAACUAAACAACUUCUCCAAUAGGUAUAUUUUGUUAGGUAAAAUUUUAGUUAAGAACAGGGCAUCUAGAGCAAUCCACAAAGCUCUAACAGUUUUAGCACUAUCAACUUGUCUCACAAUAUUGUCAGAUAGAUGCAAAAUUAUAUAACUGUAAGCAAUUUCAUUCAUGUCUUCAAUUUCAGUUGUUUUAGCUUUUAACUCAUCAGAAAAUGUAGCGGGAUCAUCAAGAGCUUUAGCAACUCUCUGUUGGACCAAAAUGGCCCUCAUUUUCUGUUUCCAUAUCAAGUAAUCCCCCUUUCCAUCGAAUUGCGAUAAUUCGACCCUCGAACCCAUUAUAGAUUCUAUAAAAGAGUGGCCUGUACUCGUGGACACAACAAAAAAGGUUUUGAAAAAUUCUUUUCCAGAUGAUCAAUAUAAAACUAAGUACCGAGUUUAAAAACAAUUUUUAGAAAUGAAGCACAAUAGUGAAAUAAUCCGUUCACGAAACACAGGUAUAUAAAGCAGGUAAAUAUGCUUCUAGGUUACAGAUUAAUCACAAGAAUUCAAUCAACAGAAUUCACAAAUAAGCAACCAAGCAAUAACCAUGCAUAAACCGGUAAGGAUACCAAACCUAACCUAACGGAGAGUUUGGAAUAAUCUUACCAAACUACUGUUGACAAACAGUAAAUAUACCACCAAGUUUCUGAACCAAAUUGUCGUAGACGUCAAGCUAGGGGCAAAAUCGUCCAACUUUUUCUGUAAAAUCUGAAACAGAAAACAAACGACAUCAGUGCGUUCAGGACGUCAAAAUAAGUAAACUGCCCGAAAAAAGCUCGCCGGAGGUCCGGCCACGCGCCGCCGCCGGUCACGCGCCCCACCACAGGGUGCGCUUCCUCCUGCUGGUCAUGGUUCCAUGGUCCAUUUCGUCGGAAAGUCAAUAGGUUGGUCGGAAAUCAAGUUUUCAGAUUCGGUCAGAAAGUGGUAAUGGUGAUUCCUUGCUGGUUUUUGAUCGAUUUUGGACUAAUAUCACUCCUCCUAGCUCUGAUACCAGUUUGUUGGGGAUCCUAGGAGUUCAAUCAACCAAAACAACAACCAAUAGACAAGAUUCAAGGCAAAACAAUGAAAAGGGGAUGGAAAAAUACAACCUGUGUUUGGCCGAAAAUUUGGACAGAUUUUCUCCUUCCUUGCAGCAGCUUUCUUCCCUUCUAAUGGCUGUUUUUCAGGCUCAGGAACAGCCUUCCAUGACUUGCUAAUUACCUUCCAAGAGAGAGGGGAAAACCAAUGAAGAACCACCACCCUUUGCUAAAAACCGAGAGCUCACUUUCAGCUGGGAGGAAAAACCGAGAGCUCUUCUACUUAAAAUGGUAGAGGGUAAGUCUACAUAAGAAGGAAAGACCAUGCCUCUGCCAAAAACGUGGGAAGACCUUAUUGUGUCAACAUCAAUACCAUCAAGUCACAAGUUGAUAGUGUUAGGUGAAUCAUAUCCUCACAGUAGGUUGAUCUAGUCUACUGCUCUUUCCUUGCACAGUCGAAUGUUAGGAAGACCGGCAUAUUUUUAAUUCCAUCCAUUGACACUUCUCCCAUUUCUUGUGCUCCUUGUACAUGACAAAGCUGUAGAGUGUCAAUAUACUGAUAUACCUCAGUCUUCAGCCUGAUUCUUUCUUCCAAACUUUCCAUGAGAAUUUUCUUCAGCAUUUCAUCUUCCUCUUCAAGAAUCCUCAACCUUUCACCUAGACGAUUAAUUUCCUUUGCAUUAGCCACCAGUUUUCUCUCUUCAAAUGAACUCUCGGAUGAAAUAUCAGUCACCGUAUGAUUCGAAGUUGAAGCCCUUAAAUCUAAUGAUUUCUCCUUGUUUAUGUACCAGCCUUGACAACAUAUCGAUGCCAGGUUCUUUUUUUGCCCAAAAACUCCCUAUCUUCAUAAUCUAGUGCCUCGUAACUUAGACUGGACGACAUGGUUAUUGCAGUUUCCAUCUCCCCAAGUAAUCAAGCAGUCUACAAAAGUGGAUGUCUUUGCUUACAAGUUACAACCGAGAAUUGCAGAGGUAAUUGACGUGAGUUUAUUUAGUUUCCUUUUCUUAGAUUGUAAGAUAAAUGAGACUUUACUUGGUGGGUGGGUGUGUGAAAGAGACAAUGAAUUUAGCUGCUGCAAGAUUGGUCCCAUUAUAUUUGUAAUAUAAAUUGGGUACUAAAUUUAGCAUUUACAUGGUCAAGGCGGUUAAUGAAUGAAGUGUGUUUCUUCCGAACUCAGAAAUUAGCAGAGAUCAGUUCCGCCUACUAAGUCAAGCAGCAAACUUUGGCUGCAUGUCUGCAUGAGAUAAUGUGAUAUAAAUCUUGGAGAGGUAAACCAGUAAAUUCAAAACUUUUCUUACUUUUAAUCAAAUAUUCUCCCAAAAUUUACUAUUCAGAAACUCAUUCUAUACAAAAAAAAAAAAAAGGCUAAAAACAACCUAGUAAAGAAGAAUAGAAAAACUUCAUUUGCUAGAUUUUGAGGAUUAAAUAAAAGAAUGAUCAUUAUUUCCUCAAACCCUAUCCCAUUUUAGAUCUGAAGUUACUAAAUUUCAAUGAUUCGAUAUUGCAAAAAGAUUGUUAAUUUUCAUAUCCCACAAAUCACUAUGAGCAUCGGCUUCAGGGGGACACUUUUUUGGUGCGUAAAAGUCUGAAAACUGAGAAAAGUAUGCACCAUAAUGUCUUGAUAAAAGACUAUAAACAACACGACAAAAAUAUGCACAGCAUUAUCCAAGUACACAAGGCUUAUGUAGAGUUUAAAGUGUAGAAUACAAAAGAUUAUUACAACUACAAUAGGAAUAAUAAACUCUCAAAGUGUAAAACCGAACCAAAAUCGAUUCAAAGCUUCUUCAACACCACCAAUGAAGUGUUAUUGACGUUGAGCUCAGAUUUGUGCCACACCGGAUCAUGCACCAUCGUCCACGGGAAUGGCAAUGGAUAUAUCGAGAAAGGAUCCGCCGAAAGCCACCAAGAAUUUCGCCGGAGUUAUGGAAAGCUCCCACUUGGUUACCUCUCUAUGCUUUCUCUCAAAUGUUAUGCCAAGUCCAAGUAGAGAGAAUGAAAAGGUCUUGAAAUUAUAGAGCCAAUUCAUUUGAAUUCAAAAUUCAAAUAUUGUACUAUGGUCUAGAGAGUGACAAUACUAGUAUAGGUAAUUAACCACUAAAUUAAAUCCAACCAUUGGAUUUAAUCUAUGGUCCAUAUCACUCCAUAACUAGCACAAUCCAAGUCACAUUCUCUAGACCAAUCAACUUGUACAAAUACUAUGUUGUGAUCCACCUUUCAAAUCUUCACCUUGGAUCACAUAACAUCCAUCGCCAAAUUCCCCGGAUACAAGUGAUAUCCAUUAGUGUGGUCUUAUUUUUAUCAUUAUCGCUCACUCCAACUUAGUACCUGCACAACAAUUAACCAUUAUCAAUACUUAGUAUUGAUAAACAUUUGUUGAACUUACCAACCGCAAGUACUUUUGAUCCAACAUCUGCAAGGUUAUCAUCAGUCGCAAUUUUAAGCAAAAUAAAAUCAUCAGAAGCUAACUUCUCCCUAAUGAAGUGAUACUUCACCUCAAUAUGCUUAGUACGUUCAUGAUAAAUAGGAUUUUUACACAACAUCAAUGAACUUUGACUAUCAGUAAAAAUCAUAGCAUUAUCAUUCAAGAAGUUUAAUUCACAGAGAAGGCGUUUCUGCCACAUGCAUUCCUUUACAGCUUCAUUUAAUGCAACAUAUUCUGUUUCAGUGCUGAAGAGUGUAACUAUAGGUUGCAACUGUGAUUUCCAAGUGAUACAAUUAUCACAUAAAGUGAAGAAGUAAGAAGUGGUAGAUUUCCUCCGAUCUUUAUCCCCGGCAAAGUUAGAAUCUACAUAUCCUUUAAGUUAUAAUUUGUUACUUCUUCUUUCAAAUACCAAUCCCCUUUUCAAAGAUCCAGCUAGGUAUCUUAAUAGCCAUUUAAGUGCAGUCCAAUGUGGUUUACCUGGGUUAGACAUAAACCUACUCAAAAAACUAACUGCAUAUGCAAGGUCCGGUCUUGUGGUAAUCAUAGAAUACAUUACAGACCCAAUGGCAUUAGCAUAGGGAACAUUACUCAUUUCAUGCAUUUCUUCUUCAGUUUUAGGGCAUUGUGUAGAUGAUAAGUUCGUGUGUGCAGCUAAUGGUAUAUUGACAGACUUAGCAAAUUUCAUACCAAAUUUGGUUAUCACUUUAUUCAAAUAAGACUCUUGAUUAAUAAUCAUCCCAUUACCAGCCCUAUUCCUUUUAAUAACCAUACCAAGAAUUUUUCUUGCCUCUCCUAAGUCUUUCAUGUCAAAUUUCGAUUUUAAAAGGUUUUUCAUCUUUAUGAUUUCAGCUUUACUAGGACUAGUAAGCAACAUGUCAUCCACAUAUAAUAAUAAAUAAACUUCACAGCCUAUUUUAGAGUUAUUGAAAUAUAGACAUGCAUCAAUUUCACUCCUCUUAAAACCAAUUUUAAGCAUAAAAAGCAUCAAAUCUCUUAUACCAUUGCCUAGGACUCUGCUUAAGACCAUAUAAGGACUUUCUAAGCAAACCCACAAGUUCUGAUUUUCCUUUCACCUCGAACCCUUGAGGUUGAGACAUGUAAAUCAAUUCAUCUAACUCCCCAUGAAGAAAAGUCGUCUAAACAUCUAGUUGCUCCAAUUCCCAAUCAUACUGGACAACCAAGGCUAAGACUAACCUGAUAGUUUUAUACUUAAUAACUGGUGAGAAUACCUCAUUAUAUCUAUCCCUUCUCUCUGAGUAAAUCCCUUCUCAACCAAUCUAACUUUGUAUGUUAAAGGGUCUUUAGGUCCUACUCCUUCUUUUAACUUGUAGAUCCAUUUACAAUGGACUACCUUUUGAUUCAUUGAUUUUUCAACCAACUUCCAAGUCUCAUUUUUGUUUAGAGACUGUAUCUCUUCUCUCAUUGCCUUUUUCCAAUUUUCAGAAUUUUCACAGUUAACCGCUUCCUUAAAUGAAGUCGGUUCAACUGACUCCAAGGCUUCACCUGAAACUAGGACAAAUUCCAUCAAAUUUGAAGAGAUGUAUUUCAAAUUGGGCUUCACUUGUCUUCUCUCUCUAUCCCUCACCAAUUGGUAAUCAUCCAAAUUAGUACCCGUAGAUGUUUCUUGAUUAGGGAUAACAGUUUCAGGAAUUUCAAGUUCAGGUUGUUCUAUCACUGCUUCUUGAUCAGAUUCUUCUUGAGGUUGAAUUUCACUAUCCUCUAGAUUAUCUUCUAAUCUCUUCACCUCAAAUUCCAUCUUCUUUCCAAUAGAAGAUUCUCCUUCCUUAAUGUGUUUGUUCUGACUUACUAUGUUUUUAAGACAAGGCAUAUCAAGUUUAUUGAACAUUACAUCUCUACUGUUAAUAAUCUUAAUGCCCUUUACACCUAAAACCCAUAGUCUAUAUCCUUUUACUCCCUCUGGAUAACCUAACAUGACACACUUAGUAGCCCUAGGGUCCAAUUUGCCCUCAACCUGAUGUGCAUAAGCCGCACAACCAAACACUCUAAUAUGUGACAAAUCUGGAGAUUUUCCAGACCACAACUCUUGAGGAGUUUUGAAGUUAACAGAACUAGAAGGUGACCUAUUUAUUAAAUAGGCAGCAGUGCACACGGCUUCACCCCAGAAACCUUUAGACAACCUAGAAUUAAUCAUCAUACAUUUGACUUUAUCCAUUAAAGUCCGAUUCAUUCUCUUCGCUACCCCAUUUUGUUGAGGGGUAUGUCUUACAGUCAUGUGCCUCAUUAUACCCUUUCCCUUGCAGAAAUUAUCAAAUUCGAAGUUGCAAUACUCUAAACCAUUAUCCAUCCUAAGAGUUUUCACGCCUUUUCCUAUUUGAUUUUCAACUAAGGCAAGCCAAGACUUAAACUUACUAAAAGAUUCAGAUUUGGAUUUAAGGAGAUACACCCAAACUUUCCUCGAGUGAUCUUCAACAAUGGAUUGAAAAAAUCUAUUUCCUCCAUGUGUGGGGUGUUUCUUAGGACCCACAAACCUGCAUGAAUGUAGUCCAAUGGUCUCUUAGUGUUGUGUUCACCUGUCCCAAAGCUAACAUUGUGUAACUUUCCUAGAACACACGUUUCGCAAAAAUUUAAAGGUGUAACACUAUCCUUACCAAGUAAAUUUUGAUCACUAAGUAUUUUAAUCCUUUGUUCCCAAUGUGUCCCAUCCUCUUAUGCCAAAGAUCUGAUUUAUCUUUAGAAACUAAAGAUAAUGCCGACUCUUUACUAUCCAAGGUUUUACCUUGAAGGACAUAUAACUCAUUCUUUUUGGGACCUUUCAUAACCACUAGAGAUCCUUUACAAAUCUUUAAAGUACCAGCAUGAGAUUUGAACUCAUGGCCUUCUUCUUCUAGAGUGCCUAAGGAAAUGAGAUUCCUUGCCAGGCCCGGGACAUACCUAACACCUCUAAGGGGUCUGAUAAUGCCAUCAUGCAUCCUAAUAGCAAUACCACCUACUCCUUCUAUAUUGUGUGUACGAUCAUCCCUUAAGUAUACUUUUCUAGGAUUCACAUCUCUAUAGUUAUAGAACCAAGAUUUAACAGGACACAUAUGAACAGUAGCACCAGCGUCUAAUACCCACUCAGUGUCAAAAUCAAUAUUAGAAAUAUUCAUGACAUGUAUGUUAUCACAAGCACCAUUUAAAUCGGUGUCAAAAUCUCUUGACACGGUCAUAACAUGUAGGCAAUCGAGGGAAUCACUUACAGCAACUAAGUUCUAAUCAUCAUUUUGCUGCGGUCUUUGUUUCCUUUUAAAGUCAUUACAGUCUUUCUUGAAAUGUCCUAACUUGCUACAAUGGAAGCAUUUCUUACCACUCUUAUCUCUAGACUUAGACCUACCCUUCGAUUUUCAUCUGCCCUUCUUACUUUGAAAAUGGUUCUCCCUCGUCUCACUCCUCCAUCUAGCAAACAAACUCUCUUCUCUCGAGCUACCCCUUGACUCUUUCUUAAGCUCUAGCUCCCUAGCCCUCAAAGCAUCAGUCACAAUAUCUUGGGUCAAAGUAUCCCUAGCAUACGUGAUAGCAUUCCUAACAUCUCUAUAAGAUUCGGGCGUAGCAUUUAAAAGUAUAACCGCUAGAUAUUCAUCAUCAAAUUUCUUGUCGUCGUGGGCCAAACACUUGACGAGUCUGUUAAAGUCACUCAAAUUUGAUUCAAGAUUCUUUUCCGGGUCUAGCUUAAAACUAAACAGUUUUUGAAGCAAAUGUAUUUUGUUUGGAAGAGAUUUUUCCAAAAAAAGCUUGUCAAGUGCCUCCCACAACUCGGCAGUCUUAUGUCGUUCAACUUGUCCUAACACAUCAUCAGAUAAAUGCAAUAUAAUCAAACUAUUUGCAAUUUCAUUCAUCUCAGUGAUUUCAUCUGAUUUAGCUUUUAAUGCAUCGGAAUAUUUUUUCGGGUCGUCAAGAGCUUUAGAAACUUUUUGUUGAAUUAAAAUAGCUUUCAUUUUUUGCUUUCAAAUGGAAUAAUCUCCCUUAUCAUUGAAUUGUGUCAAUUCAACUCAAGAGGCCAUAUUAGCAAAAUAAUGUUUUCGAAAAAGUUUUAUUUAUCCAAUUUACCCACACACAAAUACAAGCUCAAACCAAUUUCUAUAUAAAUUACUUUCAAGCUCAAACCAAUUUCUAUAUAAAUUACUUUCUAAGAUGACAUAAAUGAUGAUAUCAUAACAAGUAACACAUAACCAAUAUCACAAGAGUCAAGUAACAAUAUGGCAGUAAAUAACACAAUAUUUCAAUUAUAAAUUCGAGAGGGUCUUAAAAUGCGCAAACCAAGCGAACCAAUCUAUUGGUUCGUAUUUUAAGGAGAGAUGCGAGUCUUUAUCGAUUUGAAGCCUCCAGUAACAACCCUAAGUCAUCCAACAGCCGCUGAAACACUAGGAAACACCACCGAGCCGCUAACGGAAAAGUUUCUCCGUUUCCACUUUUCUGCCCAAGACUGUAUCUUCUUCCACAGUGCACCAAACAGAAAUCCAACACCACCAGAAUGUCAGAAAUUCAUCAAGGAAGAAUCUGUAUUUUUUGAUCUCCAGUUGAAACCUCACGAUGCGCCCUCACGUGUCGCCUUUGUUCUCUUCGUGUGGUCUCACAUGCCACCUCCACCGUCGGCGCGUGACUCACCCGCGCUUCACUGGAAUAUAGUGCUUGACGUCCGGAGUCUGGUGGUGGUCUCCGUUCGUCCACCAGAUGUGUACUUUUUUCAGAAAAUGGGUUCAAAGUUUCUGCUCAACUUGUUUUCGAACAAAACCGAACCCCUUCGACUUCUAAUCUGAUUUUGAAGUUGUUUUAACACUUUUUACCACUAGCCUAAGCUCUGAUACCAUCUGUAGAGUUUAAAGUGUAGAAUACAAAAAAUUAUUACAACUACAAUGCGGAAUAAUAAACUCUCAAAGUGUAAAAACGAACCAAAACCGAUUCAAAGCUUCUUCAACACCACCAAUGAAGUGUUCUUGAUGUUGAGCUCAGAUUUGUGCCACAUCGGAUCAUGCACCGUCGUCCAUGGGAAUGGCAAUGGAUAUACCGAGAAAUGAUCCGUCGGAAGCCACUAAGAAUUUCGUCGGAGUUAUGGAAAGCUCCCACUUGGUUACCUCUCUAUGCUCUCUCUCAAAUGUUAUGCCAAGUCCAAGUAGAGAGAAUGAAGAGGUCUUGAAAUUAUAGAGCCAAUUCAUUUGAAUUCAAAAUUCAAAUAUUGUACUAUGGUUUAGAGAGUGACAAUACUAGUAUAGGUAAUUGACCACUAGAUUAAAUCCAACCAUUGGAUUUAAUCUAUGGUCCAUAUCACCCCAUAACUAGCACAAUCCAAGUUAUAUUCUUUAGACCAAUCAACUUGCACCAAUACUAUGUUGUGAUCCACCUUUCAGCUUAUUUUCAAUUGUAAGUAUAGAUAUUCCUUUUCCUAUCUUAAGAAAAAAAGAAAAUGAGGAACACUAAUACAGGUACACAUGUGCACAUCUACAAUGGGAAGCCUCAAGCCCGAAUACUCUUCCAUAAUUCCAUUUAUCUUCUAUCAAUGACGAGAUGAGAAGAGCAAGCUUUGCUAGUCAUCGGGGACAUCCACCUCCAUUUUCAAACCGGGUUGUCUAAUAUCUGAAACAAGAGCGUUUUAACAAUGAUAAAUAUUACGCAUAUGAGAAAAACAAUGCUAGAAGAGGCAAAAUGUUAAGCAGCUUCAUCCAACUUUAUCCUGAGCUACCUCUGUAGUUGGGCAAGUCAAACAUAUAUAGUCUAGCAUUCCACAACUUGCGCUUCAUUUAGGGGUGGGCUCUACAGUACUCAAUAGUAUUAAAAAAGAAAAAGAAGUCGAAAUUUUGUCUAUUGUAGUGUCACGUCAAAUUCAGACAAGUACUGCAUAUCAAACAUAUGCUAUUAGAGGACUAUUUUUGUUAAAAUGCAACCUACCAAACUAGAGGUGAAUGAUAUUUUAAGACAGAAGAGGAUGACAACUUUAUGAUGUUUCUUCUAGAUGCUGUUAAAGCAAGAAAGCUCGGGGCAGAUUUUUAGAGGAACCUCUGGCUACGCAUUCCUGGAAUUUCGGAACAUAUUUUAUUGAGAGUUUUAUCAUUCACGUGCACAUUGAUCUAGCUAUUUAAGUUUUAACAUGUCAACUCUUUUGGCCAUUAAUUUCGUAGUUUAUUGUCUUUUUAUAACACAUUUUUGAAUAGAAACUUUUGCCUGCCAGGACUUGUCUCUUAAGGCCAUAAUUUAAAGGAGCCAACAAUGAAAUGUAGGAUGAUACGAGCAUGGUACAAGUAAAGUUCACCGCUUAAUAAGGAAGCAGCUUGAAAAUGUGCGUGUUUGAUAAGCUUAAAACAUCUACUUAUAUAAGUAAAUAAGUUUCUAUUAAAACUAAUAAUCCUUUUAUUGGUCAAGAUUAAGAAUAAGAAGUUAUUUAUUUUGAAAGUAAUGUCACCUAACUAUCAGAAUAAAGUAACUUGUAAGUAAUGUUUAGAACAACAUUUAUUUUUACGCUUAGUCAAACAUGCUCGUGUGUCAUAUGAGUCUAUAUAUAAGUUAACAAACAAAUAGACCAUCAGAAAAUAGUAUUUCAGAUAGACGAACCUUGACAAAGUCAUCUAACAGAAGAUAAGAUUCCUUUGUAUAACCAGCUUCAUGCAAAAGUUGGCUUAAUACUUCCUGCAAAACACAGAAUUAAAUGCAAUGGUGUAAAAAACACUACAGAAAAUAUAAGUAUGAUGUAAGAGUAGAGAUUUCUUAAAAGUAAUGUAAAGAUAGAGAAAAUUAAAAGCAAUUAUACUGGCAGGCCAACAAACACAGAAACAAAACAUUUAUACAACUCAUUCGUUGUCCGUCGACAAAUUAUUAUCACAUUUAAUCAGUUAACUAUUAAAACUACUGUGUAAGUGUAUAAAUAUUGAGGCAAUCGCUUAAAGUUACAACCAUUUAUGGUUCCACUACUCAAACCCUAAUUUGGCAUGGAUCAUUUAACACACAGCAGAAGCCCUACAAAUGAUCUUAACUUUUACGACUCUUAUCUCAUGAUUGUGGUCCAAUACUAAAAAUUAUUUAGCAACCUAAAACUUGCCAAGUUAAAUUCUGAAACACCGGAUUCAUUAUACAGAACAAAAUAGCAGAAUAAAACAGGAGCAUUGUAAUACCUCUCUUUGCUUAUCUGACAUGAAUGAGCCAGUCAAAUCAUGGAGCACUUGUAUUAUGUCAUUAAAUGUUACCUUUCCAUUGCAAUCAGAGUUGUAUAUUUUGAAGAUAACUAUCAGAAAAUGAAAAAAACAAUUAUGCAGAGGAGAAUGACGAAAAUGCAGAACUAUUUCUCCUGUAUCUUGUAUAUAUGAAUUAAUAUUUACAGCUAUAUAUAGAAAUGUGACUAUUAUACAAUCAUAACAGAAUUGGAAAGAGAAAGAAUCCCUCAUCUUCUACACUACUCUUCUGUUAGAAUAUUCCUCACGCAAGUGGCUAUAUCUUUCUUCUUCUAGAAUACUUCCUCAGGCUGUUUACGUGGCUUGUCCAUGUCAGCUCAUCCAUGUGGCAAUUCAUUUUUCAACAAUAACUGAGACAUUAAAGCACUGUACAGAGUUAAUAAAUUGAACAGCAUAUGCUAAAUUAUUUACAUUUAAAUAUUCGCCAGGUCAAUAGGAUCACUGAUUGGAAUUAAAAUCAAAACAUCAGAAGAAUAAAGCAAUAAACUUUGCCAAGAAGAUUUACCCAAAAAAAAAAAAGAAACAAAAAAAGAAGAAGAAGAAUAGUCUAAAAAUAUAAGAAAAUGUAAAGGAAAAGACACAAAAAAGCGCUUCGGUAACCAAAAAUAACCGAAAAUGCUUAUGCAUUUGUCAGUUCCAGUCUAUAGAUUAACAUUUCUCUUCAUAACCAAUUGAAUCAUCUCUCUUUGGAGAUGUAAUCAUAAGGGUUUCUUAGAGUUACUGUGAAUCCUCAUUCCGGGACAAAUGAAAUUUCAUUUGGUCCUAUAAUUAAAUCAGAUUCUAGAAAGAAUACUUCGUAAAAACUAUGUCAAAACCAAACAGAUUUAAAUAUCCAAACUUAAAUCUUUCAAUUUCUAGAUCAAUCAACACGAAAAAGUACUAGUAGCAAUGAAUUUACCGUGAAACAGAAGAUUUGGUAUGCAUUAAAUUCUGAAUACAAAUGAGGCUUAAUAGACCUACUCUCAAUUUUUUGAGGCACCGUUGCUUUAGCACUGAAAGCUGACAAGAAUGCAACGAAUUCCUUGAAAUUCAAUCCAUCCACCAACUUCAGUAGCCUCUAUAAGCAUCCAAAAAAAAAAAAAAAAAAAAAAAAAAAAAAAAAAAAAAAAAAAAAAAAAAAAAACAAAAGAAAGAAAAGAAUAAAAAAUCAUCGAACAUGUUACAAAUAAGAAUAACAGAAUGACAACCACGACAAAAGAGCGCGUUUGCCGAAGCUUCGACGGUUACUUUCGAAGUUAAGUGAUUUUUAACUUUUUUUUCAAACUAGCCACACGUGCCCAAAAUCACCUGAGAAAGUGGAUUCAUUGCAAACUCAGGUGCUGAUAAAAACUCAUCUGCUGAUAUGAACCCCUUUGCAUUCUUAUCGAGUUGGCAAAAUCUCUUAUACACAGACACUAUUUCUUGCUGAGUAACUAUAUUAUUACAAAAAAUAAAAAAAUACAUUCAGUUCAGCAGAAAUUGAAAACUAGAUAAAAACAAAAAUCGAGAUUCUGGGAAUAAGCAAAAGGGUACUCACACAGAUAAUUACAGUGUUCUUGAACUUCUUCAAUUUCAUACUGAGUUAACAUCGAUGAAGCGCUGCCCAUUGCUAAAUUUCACUGCGGAAAAAAACCCAACAAAUUUCAAUGUAAAUAACGACCGACUUAUCAAAAUCGCAUUUUUCACAUAUAGAAUCCAAUAAACAUCGAAAAAAGUAACAAACGACAAAAAGAAAAACUAAAAAAGGAGACCUGAAAUUCCAAGAUAUUUCUGAAUCGAAGGGACCAGAAUGAAGAAAGAAAAGGUAUAGUAAAGUGAAGGAUAAGAAUCUAUAAUGCGUAAUAAUAUGAGAAAAAUUUGGAUAGAGUCUGCUUAGCCAAAAAUGCAAUCUUGUUUUUUUUGGCAAGGUGACGAGGAAAUUUAUGUUUAUCCAAUAAGGCCUUGUUUGAAUCUGAUACAUAUAUGAUUAAGCGUGUCUAAGCCCUUGGGUCCCAUUUUUUCUUCAAAAUAUAUUUUUUAACAGUAAUUUGACAUCAUUUUAAUUAUACAUAAUAUAUUUUUCAAUAAAAUAAUAUUACAGGCAAAUAUAGAAUUUUUUAUUAUUUUUUAAUCACACAUUCUCCAUUAUAACACUAUUAAAAAAGGAUUUUUUUUGAGAAAAAUAGGGUUCCAACAACCCCUAAAUGUAACCGAUGGCUUGUUUGUUAAAGAUUUUUUAACAAGCAAAUUUUUUAAAAUAACUUUUUUUUUUUUUUUUGAAUGUAUGGCUAAAAGUAUGAAAAUAUUAUGAAAGAGACAUGAAAAAUUAUAUUUGUUGGGGAUGUGCGAUUGAAAUUGAGUGAAAGGGAAAUGAUUAUCAAAUAAUCAAAAUCAAACAAGGAAGGAAUGACUUGAUCUAUUUUUUAUAAUAAAUUUUUCAAUUCAAAUAAUAUAGAUUUUUAUCAAUUCAGCUACGUGUCAAAUUUGAUUAAGAGAGUUUGUUAUCAAAGCCUCAUCACUAUGUUAAGACUUACGAAACUUCAUUAUAAUAAAAGGGAAAGUCUUUUUCUAGUUUCGUGACCUCUUUUAUAAUGCUUCAACCUGAAGAAAUGACUUUUAUCUAGUUUUACAAGGAAGAUAAACAUGUUUUACCAAAUGCGUUUGACUAAUUUGAUAAGAUAAAAUGUGCAAUAGACGAGAAUAAAGAUAUUUGAAACAACUUAUAAAAAAUAGUUUUGGGAUCACAAUAAUAAGAUUUUUGAAACUAGGUAGUUGCAAAUAAUUUGAUUUGAAAUAAUAAUCUAUUUUCCUAUUAAUUUGAUAUUUUAGUCAUUCCAAAACUACCUAAAAACGAAGAAAUUAUUUUUGCUGAAUGAUUUGGAUAGAGUGGUCUAAAAAUGUUGUUCAAGAAAUGCUAGUAUUUUGAAUGUACAGUGGAAUCUUAAAAUCGAGUUCUACCUGAAGUAUUCACAACAAUUAUAAUUAUUUCUGGGUGACCCUUGUUGUGGCAACCACGCAAGAAUUACUUGUGAUAAAAUACUAGUUUUUUAGAAAUGCCUAACAAGAAAAAUGAAGCCCCUCGAACAUCAGAUAAAAAGAUGUAGAUUGUUAACGUUACCUUACUCGUUGUCUAUCUUGUAAUCAUUUAGUUCUGCCUAUACAAAGGAUAGCUCAUGCUCCUCUUCCUUCAUUAUUGUUGACCUUUCGUUCCUAGUGGUCAUGUAUAGUGAGAAAGUUCUCAUUGCCUUUAGACGAGAAAGCUUACAUCCUCUAGACAAAUCAAUAGGAAAUGCUACAACUUUUCUUUUGACGAUCAAACACUUUGGAGGUUUCUUUCUAUACAAUCGAAUUAUACUCUGCCUGAUCUUACUUUUGACAGUUGUGUAUUUGACAACCAUCAUCGAAAUCAUUUGAAGGCUAGAUCAUGGAGAGAGUGUCAACCACUCAAAUUGAAGCCAAACAAAGGAAAUAAAUAUCGAUCUAGGAAAGGUAGACUAAGGUGACUAGCACGACAAGCUAUCACGAACUGGUACUCCUUCUCAACCUCAUAAAUUUUUGAAGACAUUAACUACACUUCUUAUAAGCCUAUGUAAAUGGUAAUUUAAAUUUCUACUCCCUUGUUUGGUUGUGGUUCUCUCUGAAAGGAAGCAACCACUGCCCAAACAUGCUCAAAAUGAUAAUUGAUGCCACGAAACGACUUCACUACCAAUUUUUCUCCCAGCCCACACAAAAAUAGUAAUUCGAUGAUGAUGAAAAGGAAAUGCAAUAAUUAAGUUAUGCCAAAAAUAAUAUGAAGUUAAAGAUUCAACAGCUUGUAAUAAAUUAAAUACAACCCAACCCUCCAGAAAAAUAUAUAAUUAAAUAUCUUAGAAACAAAUGAUACCAUAGUUAUAGUCAAUUAAGCCCUAUUUAAUACUCAUUUUUGAAAGUACAUUUUUCUCUCAAACCCAUUUUCGAUCAUAUAUUCUACCAAUAAAUAAUUUUACAUAUAAUUUAUAAUUUUUUAACCAUACAUUUUUUCAAAAAUUAUUUCCCAAAAAUCUAUUUAAAAAAAAAAAUUGCAUCCAACAAGCUCUAAAUGACAAUUUUACUGUCAUCUGCUUGCAUUUUCAACCACAUCAAUGUCUAUUAUUAUUAUUAUUAUUAUUAUUAUUAUUAUUAUUAUUAUUAUUAUUAUUAUUAUUAUUAUUAUUAUUUAUUUUUUAUUUUUUAAAUAUCAGCAAACUAAAGAAAAUAUUAAUAUAAUCUUAUCAACAUCUAGGGAAAUAUGAUAAAAAUUAAUUAAAUAAAAUAGUGAUUUGAUUAACGCCACAUAGUGCCAGCUCAUUUAUGUUUUGCUACAAUUAUGCUCCUUAGACAGGAUUGUUGACAAGGUGGGGGUAACAGGGCGAGAUUGGGUGCUGAAUUUUUAUUUUUAUCUUUAUUUUUAAAUUGUUUAAUCAUGUAUUGACAUAUGUCCACUUUCUUAUAAACUCCAUCGUUGAGCCUAUAACUAUAGUAAGAUUGAUUUUGCUAUGCCUUGUUAAACACUUUACUAACACAUACAACACUAUCGACAAUAGUCAAAAAUCAUUGUACAAAUGACAUAUCCUUGACUCUAAUUCCUUAGAUUCUUUUUUUUUUUAAAAUUACCUUUUAAUCACAAACUUUUCAAUAAAAUAAUUCUGCAUAUAAUCUCAUUUUUUUUUCUAUUUUUAACCACAUACUCUCCAAAACAGAAAUCACUAUUAUAAAAUUAAUAUCCCAAAAAAUGAGGUUCAAACAUAGCCAAAUUGAGAUGCUAUUUAUUUUAACUAGUCAAAUAUUAAAAUAAGCUCCAAAAGCUUUGCGGAAGUGUUCUCUACUAAGAUUUUAAUGAAUUUUAAAAAAUUAUAAAUUUUAAUGAAUUUCAUGGAUUUGAAUAGAUUCUUACAAAUUCCUUAAGAAUCUCAUCAAAUAUUGUGAAAUUUCAAAAGAUUUGGUAAUAUGUAUUUUUAAACUUGAGAUCUAUUCAAAUAUUUUAAAAUUCUUUUAUUAAUGAAAUUUUUGUAAAUUAAUUAGUUAUUGAGGAUACCUAAAUUUUAAAGGAUUUCAUUAAAUUUUAUUAAAAUCUCAAUUGGGAAUACCUAAAUUUUAAUGGAUUUCAUAAAAAUUUGUUAAGAUCUCAAUUGAAGACAUCUAAAUUUAGAAUAAUUUUAAAAAUCCAUCAUAAUCUCAAUUGAGGACACCAUUUUAAUAUAUUAACUUUUUAAAAUUGAGUAUUUUAUCGAUUUACAUUUGGCCCCUAUUAGACCCUCAUUUUUAAAAUAUACUUUGUUGCGGAAGCUCUCUUGAAAGAUCUUCAAAUCGGUGAUUUUCGGGCUCAAUCCAACGCACCUUUCUCAACCAACAACCAGUUCAAUCGGCUCCAAACCACAACCAAUUGAUUCACCUUGAUUGCUAUUCACUCUUACCUACGUAGGACAAGAAAGGAUGAUGAUUUGUAGCCACAAAGGCUAGGAGAAGACACCACAAAGGUAUACUAUCAAGGAACCACCAAUUGCACAAAUUAUACAAGUGUUCUGGACACUUCUGAAGACCUUUUUUCUCACAUAAAGGGGGCAGCCGGGAUUCUCUUUUUUCUUCUCUCAAAAUCACACUAUCAUCAUAAGAAAGUGGCUAGGGUUAUAGCCAUAUAUAUACUCUAGGGUUAGGCUUUAAGUUGGACCAUUAAAGGGUUAAAUGGGCCAAGAUUUAAGCCAUCCAUAAGGGAAUACAAUUGGACCGAGUGUAGCUCAUGGACUUGGUUGUUGGACUUAUUUCAUUCAUUGGCCUAUACCUAUGAAAUAAUAUUAACACACGUUAACAUCAUAACCUAGAAUUUAUUGGGUAUCAAAAAACCCAACAAAUCUCCACCUUGAUGCCCAAUAAAUCUGCAAGCAAUCAAAACACACAGUUAACACUUACAUAAUCAAGGUAGCCAAUAAAAUUGGAUCACAGACCUUAUCUCAUGUUUCCAACUUGCAACACAUACCAUACCUUCUCCAUGUACUCACUGGGGUUAAAGUCAAAAACACCCAAGUAGAAGCAAAUAUUUAACAGUAAACUAUUGAGAGCGAAUACACGUGUGAUGACGAUAUACUAUAGGAUAACACACACAGAUCUUUUCAAAAACACGUUCACAUAGAACCAUAGAUUAAAACCAAGCCAAUCAAACCACGGUCAACCACAUAUGCAACACAUGCAUAAAUGACCCUAAGAAAAGAUCUCACCACACUUAUCCUAUCCCAUUCUGUGUUGCUCACACCUCGAGAACACAUAUCUUCUCUUAUCGUCCACCAAGCUCACUAGACAGAUCACUCAACUCAUGUUUAACUGGUAAGUCACAAUAGAUCUUAAGUCCACGGGAUAAUCUUCUAUCUCCACAUCACUUCUCCCAACCUACGUGGAUAAUGGGUUUCCACCUAAUAGAAGUGAUAGAAGUGUCUCUCUUAUACUCCACCUGAUCAGGGUCUCUUUCCAGAUAAAGAAUUCUAGACAUUUGAUCAUAUCUCCACUCGUGAUCCAAAUGUCACUAUAGACAUAAAAAUAAAAUAAAAUGAAAUGGAUUAGAUCGAUUUAAAUCAUCAGCUCAAUUAAAUUAAAAUCUACUAAGGUCCAUAAAUCCAAAGGCCUAUAUCAUAUUUUAAAUAAAUAAACAAACAAAUAAAUAAAAUCAUAAUUACUCAAUUAUCUCUUUUAAUUAGAUGUAAUUGAGUAAUUACCAAAAUUAGCGUGAAUUCUCGACUAUAAAUAGGACCAAUGGUCCAUAAGAAAGAGGGGACACAGAAAGUAAGCAAGAAAGAAAGUAGAGAACGCCACGAAGUGUUGAAGAAAUCACAAGGCUAAAAGAAGGGAAGAAAUUCUAUCAAACCUUAGCUCGAUGAACCCCAAGAAGAUUAAAAUCUUCUUCGAAUCAAACAGGUUCACGCCAAGUUUAAGGAGAUCAAAGUCUUCUUCAAAUCAAAUCAAAUUCAAGUCCAAGUCCAAACCUCAAGAUUCAAGUUCCAAACAAGUCAAAUAUCGACAAAUCAAAUUUUCAACAAAAUUAUUGAAGACCAGGAUUCAAGCCACGUGGCCCCUCAUCUUCAAAUAUUCAGAUCAUUAAUCAGAGGAUUUUGUAAUUUUGCAAUUACAAGAAGGUCAACAUCACUUGUAUUUAUCAAAAUACAAUUUGUAAUGAUUUUUGUAUUUUAAUACACGAAAUUUCGUCGUACAAAUUUCUUGGCACGCCUUGUGGGACCUUCUUGUCCUUUCAUCUUUUGAUCUCAAAAUCUUUAAGUUUCAAAUACUACAUCAGCAAUGGCAGGCGAAAAGGCGAAACAAACUAUGACUCAUCUCGAAGAGACACUUGCUGAACUCUUCCACGUGACCAGGGCCUAAACAAAAACUGGGAAAACUCAACUGGUCACACCAUUAAAGAAAUUCUCCAACAAAAACAGAAUGAAAAUUGCCUUCAAAAAGUCAAACUCUCAUUCGACACAAAAAAUCAUGAGUUCGACGAAAAACUCUCGUUCAGGAUCCAUCUCUAGUGGUAGAUCCUUAUUUGGAUCCCGUCAUGCUACUUCUCAGCAAAAGUGAGAAGAUGAUACUUCAUCUGAAGAAUCACUUGAGCCAGUGAUGGUCACAGAAGCGGCAUCGGGCUCAGGUGAUCGAAUCCAACAAUGGCUUUAGCUAUUGAAAAAUUAACAAAAUCGUUAGAAGAAAAAGAUGCCCAAAUUACCGCACUCAUACAUAAACUAGAGUCGUAAAAUCCACCGGUUAAAGAAGAUCAGGAAAAUUUAGGAUCUUCCAAGGCCAAAGAGUUAGAAGUCCAAGAGCAUCAACAGAAGCAAGAUAUACAUGAUCGAACAAUUGUUCAAAAUGUGUUACGUGACGCCACUUAACUCUCCGUUGGCUCUCUAUCUGUCCAACAACUUCAACAUAUAAUUGCGGACACCAUUCGUGCCCAAUAGGUGGUUCGUUGCAAUCUUCAUUGGUGUAUGCCAAACCCUAUAGUCGUCGAAUCGACAAAAUAAGGAUGCCACUUGGUUACCAACCUCCGAAGUUUCAAUGUUUUGACAGAAAGGACAACCCAAAGCAACAUGUUACUCAUUUUAUUGAGACUGUAACAAUGCAGGUAAUUACAAUGACAGAAUGGUGAAGCAGUUCGUACGCUCCCUCAAAGGUUUUGCAUUUGAAUGGUACACAGACUUAUCGACAGGGUCAAUUGAUAGUUGGGAUCAACUCGAGCGAGAGUUCUUAACACGCUUCUACAGCACCCGACGAACUGUCAGCCUUCUAGAACUUGCUCGAACAAAGCAGAGUAAGGAAGAGCCUGUAGUAGAGUACAUUGAACGCUGGAGAAACUUUGUGCUUAAUUGUAAAGAAUGAAUAAGUGAAGCAUCUUCCAUCGAUAUGUGUGUACAAGGCAUGCAUUGGGGAUUACUCUACAAUCUCCAAGCAAACAUGCCUCACUCAUUCGAAGAAUUGGCAACACGUGCUCAUGACCUGGAGCUCCAAAUUGCAAGGCAUGGGAGUUAUUUACCAAGUGACAAGAAAGAUCCUAAGAAGGAUAUAAAGAAGGACGUGAAGACAAGUAAACCCAAAGAGGCUAUGGCGAUUUCUACUGUUCCUGCAAAGAUAGCCAUCCAAGGGUCGAGCUCGAACUCAAAACUGAAGCUAGAGUUUAGACCUAACAAAGGACAAGUCCAAAGCAGAAGUCAUGUGACUCUAAAGGAACUUGAAGGAAUGGAUUACCCAUUCUCAGAUUUAGAAGUUUCUGGAAUUCUGGAUCAGCUCCUUGAACAGAAAACAAUCGAACUUCCAGUACCAAAAAGACCUGAGGAGGCUGGUAAGAUCGAUCAUCCUAAAUACUGUAAAUUUCACAGGAUCAUUAGCCAUCCAGUGGAAAAAUGCUUUGUUUUGAAAGAUCUUAUUGUUCGCUUGGACAAAGAAAAUAAGAUCAAACUUGAAACCGGAGAGAAUCCAACAGCUACAUGCUCGAUGGUUUCAUUUGGAUCAUUUGAUCCAAUUCCCAUUCCAGGAAAGAAACAAACAUUCUCUGAUGUACACGAUGCCUGUAAAUCCUCCGUUGAGGAAUUUGGACCUCAACUCCCGGAAGGAACCAUGCCAGUAAAAUUUGAGGUAGAUAAAGAAAUCACCAUCAGUUAUAUCUAUCCAGGGAUGAAUGGACCAAGCGCACCCAAUCAUCCAACCUUUUAUGAAAUUAUGACAGGAGACUUGGAUGUUUGGGAUUUCGACUCAGAAUUAGAAGACGAGAUCGGUGACGGCUGGUCUACCUUCAUAAAGAAGAAAGAGAAAUACAGAAUGUCAAACAAAAUAGGUAAACUAUUACCUUCUACUCCUCUUGCAAGAACAAAGAUGGAGGAAUUGGGUACGAAAAUUCAACCCAAUGAAGAAGAAAUACUAUGAGAAGAUCAGGGGGCAUGGACCCUAGUGAAAAGACGUCGUCGGAAGGCUCCACGACUCCUAAAUUCUAACUUUUGUGACAAGAAAUCAAGACCAAGGAACAAUCAAAGAAGGAGGUCUGAGGCCAAACCAAGAGUAUCUACUAAAUCAACCGAAGAGGGAGCAGCUCCACGCGUUCUUCCUAGACUAACGACCUUGGGUGAUUACUUUCCUAAGGGUUUCUUUGAUAAAGAAUGUCUAACCUCCAACGUAAUCAAUGUGAAGAAGAAAGAUGAAAUGAAGAACGUAUCAAGGCAAACUUCAAAAUAGAAGAAAACUAUUUCACGACUCAAUAAUAUUCCUGCCAAUACAAGUCCAGCAGAGUCUCUUACCCUUCCCUUCAAUGAUCGGAUGGCCUGGGUCGCAGCAUUAAUCGAUCUGGAAGAAUACGAAGGCAAAACUUUAGAACAUAUUGGAGCCACAACUCCUCAAGACUGUAUGGCCGCCAUAACAUUCGACGAUGGAGAUUUACAAUUGGGGUCACGUCCACAUAAUAGACCACUGUAUGUCAGCGAUUAUAUUCGAGAGCGCAAGAUAAAUCAUAUAAUGAUCGAUUGUGGAUCUGCUGUAAAUAUUAUGCUGGUCAAAAUAAUGAAGAAAAUUGGAAUCAAUGUUGGUAAUCUAUCCAGAAGCAAAAUCAUGAUUCAAGGAUUCAAUCAAAAAGGUCAGCGAGCCAUUGGCAUAAUUCGCCUAAAGUUGCAAAUAGGAGAGUUAAUCUCCUCGGCUCUUUUCCAUGUCAUUGAUGCUAAAACAUCAUACGAGUUACUCCUUGGACGUGUUUGGCUACACGAAACUGGAGUGGUACCUUCGACUCGGCACCAAUGCUUCAAAUAUAGCCGAGAUGGAGAAGUCAAAUGUGUGGUAGCUGAGUCGAAACCUUUUCUCGAAGAAGAAUCUCAUUUUGCCGAUGCCAAGUUUUACAUGGAAGGUGAAGAAUGUAAUUCUUCAGGGUUGACCUUAUCUGGAUUCAAAAUCAAAGAAGAUAGAAACGAUCAUGAUACGUCUCAUGCUGCUCAAUCUCAUCAACUUAUCAAAGAUAAGUCAAGAUUUACUAAAGGCAAAAACCUCAAGUAGAAUCAAUCGAUAUAGAGGUAUUGAGAAAAGAGUUAACUCUUCCAAUACCUAGUAUCCCAAAAUUGCUUUUGCCCCACUAACUUAUGGCGGGCGCCAAAGAAUAUAAAUCUACAUUAGAGGCUUCAACGGCUUCAACAUCUCUUCCUGACAUAUUAAAACUUUAUAUUUCCAGCUCGUCCAAACAAAAAGGAGCUGCUGAAUCAAAACAAACUUUCAAAGGAUGUUACAAUCCUCAAGUUAAGAAGUUGUUCAAAAAUGCUGGGUUUGGAAAAGGAGAGCCUCGUAAAUUAGGUGAUCUUGAUGCUGUCCUUUCAGGAGGGCGCCCCCUUCUAAUUUUGACAGAGCCUUGGUGUCCCGACCCAGGUAUGGUUUGGGAUAUGAUCCCAAUCCACCGAGAAAGAUUAAGGUCAAGAAGGUUUCCUCAAACCCCAUCAUGAUUCAAAUUUAUGAAGUUGCAGAAGAGAAAUCUGAACAGCCGAAACCUUCAGUAUUCGAUCGAAUUGAAAAUGAGAAUGCCAGAGUUUCGGUGUUUAAAAGGUUAAAAGGAGAACCCUCCCCAAUGGUCGAUGUAAAAGGUAAAGUGAAGAUUCUUCUUCUACCCAAAUUGAUAGGAAUGCACAAGCUUUCCAAAUGUUAUCCCAAAGACAAUCUGCAUUUUUCGACUUGGGAUUAAAACUUCUGAUCCAAGCCUAAAGCCACAACGGUCAAGAAGAAGACGAAGACAGCAAAAAGUUCGUCCGUCCCUAAAGGAGAGUGAAGAAAAGGAAGAAGUCUCUGUCAAUCACAUAGCCUUUGAAAAAGCUCCCGAUUCAGACUCCGAGUCCGAAAGUUUUGUCACAACUGAUGAACUUGAACCAGCCCCACCUACUUUUGAAGAAGGGGGACAAGCUACUGUGGAUGACUUGAAACAAUUGAACCUGGGAACCGAAGAAGACCCAAGACCAGUAUUUGUAAGUGCCAUUCUCAGUCAAAAGGAAGAAUCUAAGUACAUUAGUUUGCUUCACAAAUACAAAGACGUGUUUGCAUGGUCCUACAAAGAAAUGUCGGGGUUGAAUCCUAAGGUUGCAGUACAUCAUCUUGCAGUAAGACAUGGAGUUCGACCGAUCAAACAACCUCAGAGAAGAUUUCGACCAGAACUAAUUCCUCAAAUUGAAAUGAAAGUCAACAAAUUUAUUGAAGCUGGAUUUAUACGCGAAGUAAAAUGUCCAACAUGUAUCGCAAACAUUGUUCUUGUCAAAAAGAAGAACGGGCAAUUACGAAUUUGCGUUGACUUUCGAGAUCUGAAUCAAGCAUGUUCGAAAGAUGAUUUUCCACUUCUAAUAACAGAGUUGAUGGUGGAUGCAACUACCGCAUAUGAAAUCUUAUCUUUCAUGGACGGGUUUUUUGGAUACAAUCAGAUACGGAUGAACCCAAAAGAUGAGGAACUCACAUCAUUUCGUACCCCUAAAGGCAUAUAUUGUUACAAAGUUAUGCCUUUUGGAUUAAAAAAUGUGGGGACAACCUACCAGCGGGCAAUGCAAAAGAUUUUCGAUGAUAUUCUACAUAAAAACGUUGAAUGUUAUGUGGAUGAUCUUGUUAUUAAAACAAAAAGACGCAACGAUCAUUUACAAGAUUUACGAGAUGUUUUCAAAAAAUUUCGAAGACAUCAAUUAAAGAUGAAUUCGUUGAAAUGUGCAUUUGGCGUCACCUUUGAAAAAUUUCUCGGCUUCGUUGUUCGACACCGGGGCGUUGAAAUAGAUCAAUAAAAAAUUGAAGCUAUAAUCAACAUGCCAGAGCCAAGAAAUGUACGUGAGUUGAAGCUUGCAUACAUUCAAAGAUUUAUCUCUAAUAUAGCUGGAUGUUGUCAUCCAUUCAACAAAUUGGUGAAGAAAGAUGUACCAUUUGAAUGGGAUGACGCUUGUCAAAAUGCUUUCCAAAGUAUUAAACAAUAUUUGCCUCGUCCACCAGUACUCACAGCUCCAGUUCCAGGGAAAUCGCUGACUCUUUAUGUUGCAGCACAAGAAUGUUCUCUAGGGGCACUUCUUGCCCAAGUUAACGAAGAAGGAAAAGUGAAUGCAGUCUAUUACUUGAGCCGGACACUGGUAGGCGCUCAAAUGAAGUAUUCGCCUAUUGAAAAAAUAUGCCUCGCGUUAAUCUUUGCAGCUAAAAAGUUGAGGCAUUAUGCUAUCACACACAAUCAAUCUUGUUUCGAAGAAUGAUCCAUUGAAGUACAUAAUGUCCAGGCCGAUUCUUUCUGGAAGGAUUGGAAAAUGGGCAUUACCGUUGUCUGAGUUCGACAUCAAAUUCAUUCCACAAAAGGCCAUUAAAGGACAAACUUUGGUGAAUUUCCUUGCUGACCACCCAAUUCCAGCAGAAUGGGAACUUCAAGAAGACCUUCCCGAUGAAGAAGUUCUAUUCGUCGAAAUCAUACCAUCAUGGAGGCUAUACUUCGACGGGGCAGCCUGAAGUUAUGGUGCUGGAGCAGGAGUGGUCUUCAUCACUCUUCAUGAUCUCGUCAUGCCCUACUCAUUUGCCUUAAUAGAGAAAUGUUCGAAUAAUGUGGCAGAAUAUCAAGCUCUUAUCAUCGGCUUAGAGAUAGCUUUAGAUAUGGAUAUUCACCAGCUGGAAGUCUUUGGAGAUUCUAAAUUGAUAAUCAACCAACUUUUAGCUGAAUAUGAAGUCCGUAAUUUAGAUUUGAAGGCAUAUCAUGAACAUGCGGCAAUGCUUAUGAGAUGAUUUGAUUCGAUAAAAAUCAAAUUCGUCCCGAGAAGUGAAAAUAAGGAAGCUGAUGCCUUAGCUAAUUUGGCUGCUGUUUUAGCUAGAUCAUAUGAAGAAUUUUCCCACUCCAUAUCAAUUGUUCAAAGAUGGGUGCUUCCGUCAUUGCUACCCAGUAACUUGGAAGAAAACAAUAGUGUCGAAGUAGUCGAAGAUGAGGAAAGAGAAGAUUGGAGAUAGCCAAUAAUCGAUUUCCUUCAACAUCAAAAGCUACCAGAUAAUCCAAGACGAAAAACAGAAAUCAAGAGGCGUGCCUCUUGCUUUAUCUUUUAUAAGGGAACACUUUAUCAACGAUCAUUUGAUGGAGUUUUCCUUCGAUGCCUAAGUAAUGAUAAAGCAACGCAGGUCGUGAAAGAAGCCCACUCUGAAAUUUGUGGUGCCCACCAGUCUGGACCCAAACUCCAUUUUCGAAUAAAGAGGAUGGAAUAUUACUGGCCAACUAUGAUGCAAGACUCCAUGGAUUAUACAAGAAAAUGUGAAGCUUGCCAAAUCCAUGCAAAUUUCAUCCAUCAACCUCCGGAACCAUUACAUCCAACAAUAGCUUCAUGACCGUUUGAUGCAUGGGGUCUUGAUGUAAUUGGACCUAUAACUCCAAAGUCUUCAGCAGGGCAUGCAUACAUCCUCGCCGGGACUGACUACUUCUCUAAGUGGGCCGAAGCCAUACCAUUGAAGGAAGUAAAGAAAGAAAAUGUCGCAGAUUUCAUUCGUAUCCAAAUCAUUUAUCGAUAUGGUAUCCCGCGACAUAUCAUAACUGAUAAUGGCAAGCCAUUUUACAAUAGCCACAUAAACAAUUUAUGUGCAAAGUUUGGAUUCAAACAGUACAACUCGUCCAUGUACAAUGCGCAGCUAACGGAUUGAUAGAGGUAUUCAACAAAACACUAUGCAGUCUACUGAAAAAAGUUGUCUCCAAAUCAAAAAGAGAUUGACAUGAGAAAAUCGGUUAAGUCUUAUGAGCUUAUCGAACUACUUAUCGGACUCCAACACAAGCCACUCCUUAUGCCUUAGUCUAUGGGGUGGAAGCUGUCCUUCCCCUGGAGUGUCAAAUUCCGUUACUUCGAAUUGCUAUCUAGGAAGGUUUGACAACUGAAGAAAAUGCCCGCCUUCGAUUGGAAGAGCUAGAAGCUUUGGAUAAGAAGAGGUUAGAAGCACAAAUGCAUCUAGAGUGCUAUCAAGCUCGAAUGGCCAAGUCUUUCAACAAAAAGGUACGACCAAGAUCAUUUCAAGUUGGAGAUCUGGUACUUUCCGUACGCAGGCCAAUCAUAAUCACAAGAAAAAUAGGGGUCAAGUUCCAACCUAAAUGGGAUGGUCCAUUUCUUGUUACUCAUGCAUUCACUAACGGAGCGUACAAGAUCGUCGACAAAGAUGGAUUGCAAAUCGGACCUAUCAAUGAAAAAUUUUUAAAGCGUUUUUACGCCUGAAGUUCUUUAUUUUUAAAUUUUUCAUUGUACAAUAAAUAAAUUGUGUUCUUGUAAUGAACUAUGUUCGACUUGAUCUCAUUUGGGUACGUAGGCAGCUUGAAUAAAUUAUAAAUUCAAGUUCAGUCACAACUAAUAAAUUCAUUCAAUUUGUUUAUCAAUUGCUAUAAAAAAAACACAAGAAACAUGAAAAAGAAAAGUUCAUCCAAAUAAAAAUAGUAAGUCAAAAUUCAAACAAUAUGGUCUUAAAAAAAAGAGAAUAAAAAUUCAUGACUUCGUCAGGAUCACUCGCCAUUGAUCACUCACAGGAAACUAUCUUCAAGGGUCUUCAUUUUCUGGUCAAUGGAUGCUAUGCUAGCGACAUCUCUUGUCUGUGCUUCUUCCAAUGCUGUCUUCUUGGUUCUAAUCAUACUUUUGUCUUCCUCUUGGGCUUGAAGUUCAUCACGAAGUCUAGCUAACUCAAAGGUUAGCUCAUUAAUUUUGCCUCUCAACGAAGAACAUGUGGAAUCCUUUACUUCCAGUUGAAUGUUCAAAAGUUUCAACUCCUUCACCUUUUCUUCAACGGUUGGACAAUCCAAGUGAUGCUUUCUUUCAGACAAGUAAUAGUCAAUUUUUUUCAGAAACACAUACAUCCGAGUCAAUUUUUUUCAGAAAGACAUACAUUUGUUUCAUCAAAGGUGCUGGGUCUGCGUGGAAUGAGUUGGUAAUCACAUUCUGAAGAAUUAAAUUAUUUUCAUCCCACCAAGAUCAAAUAUUGGAGAAUCCAUACUUUAAGACAUCCUUAAAACAUUUCUGGAGGUAAUUAUUCAUAGCUUCUUGCAGAGCAGCCUUCACAUAAGGAGACUCUUGGGCAAUUCCAGGUAGAGGACCAGACAUGAAAGAACAGAUUGGUGCAACCCGAUGAUUAUUUGUUUGUGAAGGUGGAAUACUGACUAAAGCCAACGAAGAUGGAACGACAGGAACUCCUUGAUUGACCUCUGAAAUGUUAGCUUUCACAGUCCCUGAAUUUACUUCAUCUUCAGCAUUAAAAUUGUCCAUGAUAUGCACCAAAGUACCUUCAUUGAUGGCGCCUGGAUAUUUGCAAAGAAGGUCAUGAGAAUCAUUAAUACCAUCUAUUCCUUGAAGUGCAUCGAUUCGCUCGUCAUUCUCGUCAGUCUGAUCUUGCAAAAAGUUUAGAUUCAUGGAGAAAUUUAGUUCUUCAGGGAUGCUCAAAAAACCUACAAGAAAUAGAGCAUGGUUCCAAAAAAAAAGGGGGGGGGGAAAGUGCAGCAAACAACAACAGGGCACAUACCUGCAUUUCGUGUCCUGGGCGACAUGUCUAAAAAUCCACCGUCUGAUGAUGUGUUCGGGAGGCUGAGGUUAAUGUGAGAAGCUCCAGCUUCACCUUUUGAAAGACUCGGAAUAGCUUGAAGUAGCCUCAGUUCUAUUGGUCGUUUGAUUCUGUAAAUUUGAGAAAGAGGAGCCUGAAAUUGAAGAUUGUGACAGAAAAUCAGAUACAAAUAGUACAUAAAAUUAAAAAAAAAAAAAAAGAGGGAGAACUAUACCUGAUCUCCAGAACUUUCAUAUUCUGGAGUCAUAGUCUUUCUUGGUGCUUGUGAUGCUCGAUCUCUAGGACUACUGUGAUCUGGAAUCAAAAUUGCUUCUGGCACCUUAUCAGCAGGCUUAGAGGUGGCAGCAACCUUUGCUGAGGGAACUAUUAUUUUGAUUCUCUUAAUACCUCUUUCAUUUUGCUGGUUUAGAUCUCCCUUUCGAGAAGCCUCUUCAGGAGCAGCAUUUGGAGGGUUUAACCCUCUAGCUAAAACCCUGUUCGGAGUCGAGCCAAGAACAAAGUCACGACUCUCACUAGAAAAUAAGACUUGCACCUGGACCUUGGUCAAGAGUGGUAACACUUUGCUAUUCCACAAAGCCUGGUAUUCAACAUCAAUGUUUUGAUGUAUAUCCCUCACAUACUUUGGAAUAUGAAAUACAGACCCACUUUUUAUCCGAGUUAAGGACAACCAAACCCGAUACAUGUCGUCCUACACUGGGGGCAAUAUUCAACUUUCUUGGUGAACCGGGAAGUUUCUAUCUAAAGCCAAACUGUCUCGCAAACCUGUGCGGAUUAUAUGCCUCAAGAAUGAGACGAUGAGGGUAAUGGAUUCCAGCAAAAGUUAUCGAUGUUCAUCGCUCCACGGAUAAAUUCCCGACAAUCAACGACAUUUUUCUCCCAAGAUUGAAAAGCAUUCAGAGUUCCAGCAUAUCUUCAAAUUAUAGGGCGAGAAUAACUCUUGUCUACAUGAGCAUAAACACCUCGGACAAAAUAAGUUGCUGCCCAAGCAUAAAAAAAUGUCCAGGAAAUAGAUGUGAAAUUGAACCAAGGUCUGGAUUUGCCUGAUAGUUAGAUGUUCGUGUAAGUCCACUAUAAAUGCUCGCUAAUAUGGGUGGAACCAGACUAUAAGUGUAUCCGCCUGCCAUCCUAGAAGAUGCUUUAAAAGUCCCGACUCUUAUACUUUCGUCCCUAGAUGGAAGAACGAAGCGACAAAGCCAUAGGGAGAGAUAGGCUGCUAUCUCUAAUUCCUCUUCUUAUUCCAUAGACAGAGAUACUGGAAAAUUGCCUCAAUGCCGUCGAUCCCUAUGAGUAAUGUCUCUCGGCUUCUCUGCCACCACGGGCCUCCGUAUUUCCUUAUAUGUUCUUUGAUGGCGCCUUUUGAAUGGAUUUAAAUUCAUAGCACUCUUAUAAUUUUUAUGUUGUCGAGGGUUCGGGACACAACCAUUAUCAUGAAACCAAAAAUUAACCCACUGUUCGUGAGUAACUUGUCAGAUUCAUUCCCAUGGGCAAUCAAUGCAAAAAUAUUAAAGAGAUACAAACAAGACUUGGGAAGAUGAUCUGUCAACUCUGAAAGGCUUGGUACUACUUCCUCAUAAUAAUGACCCAUGAUCGAAAGUCCGCUUAUCUCACGGAUGUCCCAAAGAGAAAUGCCAAUUUCACCGUUGGCAGUUACAAAGGUGUUCGUUUUUGGACACCAAACCUCACAAAGAAUUCCAUAAAUGGAGUUUGGGCGAUGGUAAUCUUUUGCAGCAAAGCCAACUGCAAAAGCUAACUCUCGGAGAUUCCUCUUAAGCAGAAGUUUCUGGACCCACAAAGACCACUCCCAAAAUUUUGGAAGAAAAGAAAUCUCUCCUCGACUGACCAGUGCGCUUCCCCAUCGUAUUUCUCUAUUAUCAAUUCUCUCACAAAUCAUAGCCUUGGGAUGUACUCCAUGCUCUGGGAAUGAUGAGAGGGAAGACACAAAAAGGGAAGAUGACUGAUAGAGCGAUUGGACUUGCCAAUAUCCAAACUCUCAUGACAAUCACUAAUGGUGGACAUAUGCAACUCCGACAAUUGCUCCAGAAGGUCGGGAGAAGGAUCUGUCGUUGGCUUGUGGACGCUAACUUUAAGUUCACCUCGUACGCCUGUCUGGGCAUGGUACUUCACAUCAGUAUCUUUGAAAUGCAGAUAACUUUUGCCUUGAUUUUUAAACUCAACAAUUUCGUGCAUGUCAGGACAUACUUUAUCAUCAGAACUUGUUCCAGCCAUGCCUGCAAAAAAAAAAAAAAAAAGUCAGCCAAAAAAAAAAUGGGGGCAGUAAAUCUCUCAAAUUGGUUUAUUGUUUAAAAUCUCGAGUCUCCCAAAUAUGUAAGCAGCCUCUAUAAAAAAAUGUCUUAGACGAUUGAAGGAGCCAGUCCUUAGUCCUCAACACAAAAUGUCUUGGACAGUUGAAGGAACUAGUCCUUGAUCUUCAACACGAAGUGCCUUGGACGAUGGAAGGAACAGGUCCUUAGUUUUCAACACAAAGUGUCUUGGACAGUUGAAGGAGCCAGUCCUUGGUCUUCAACACAAAGUGCCUUGGACAGUCGAAGGAGUCAAUCCUUGGUCCUCAACACAAAGUGUCUUGGACAGUUGAAGGAGCCAAUCCUUGGUCCUUAACACGAAGUGCCUUGGAUGAUGGAAGGAACAGGUCAUUGGUCUUCAACACAAAGUGUUUUGGACAGUUGAAGGAGCCAGUCCUUAGUCCUUAACACAAAGUGCCUUGGGCGGUCGAAGGAGUCAGUCCUUGGUCCUCAACACAAAGUGACUUGGACGAUGGAAGGAACAGGUCCUUGGUCCUCAACACAAAAUGCCUUGGACGGUUGAAGGAGCAGGUCCUCGGCCCUUAACACAAAGUACAUUGGACGAUCGAAGGAACAAAUCAUUGGUCCCCAACAAAAACUGCAUUGGAUGGUGAAAAGUGGCAAUUCUUAAUCCUCAAUGUGUAUGAAGGUUUGCAAUUUUAAAUCUGUUCAUAAGCAUAUAUUUCCAGAACUCAUAAAAUAAUUGCAGCAAAAAAAAAUAAAAAAAAAUAAAUCUAACCUCUUCAUGAAGAAAAUUUUGAACCUCAAAAUCCUUAAUUUGCUCCAAAAAGUUGAAUCCCUGAAAAAAAAAACGAUGAAGAAUAUUAGUUUCAAUUUUGUUAAAAAUAACCACACCAAAAUAAUCAACAAAUAAAAAAUGGGGGUCAAAAUAAAGGGGCAUUUAAAAAAAAAAGAAAAAGAAAAAGAAAAAGAAAACAAAAUAAAGGGGUCGAAAUAAAAAAAAAAAGAGGGAAAGAUAAAUUAAAAAAAAAAAAUUUAGGGAUUUGGUUUCUGCCGAUUGGAGCAAACCAAACAUGUUUGUUUGGUUUUGUGAAAACCUAGAAAUAUAAAAACAAAAAAAAAUCAAGAAAACUAAUUAAUAAAGAAAAAAAACGGAAGUCAAUUUAUUGGCAGAAAAUCAAAAGUUUGCAGAAACCAAAUUGUGGGUUUCUGGAACAUUUUAAAAACCAAACAAAAUGGUUUUCCGCCGCUGCCAUUAAUUAAAAAAAAAAUAAGUUUCUACCAAAAAAAGGCAUAAACCGGCAAAACCAAUUCAAGAAUUGGUUUCAAUUCCAAUUCUUAGAAUUGGUUUCGAAACCAAAGAAUUAAAUAUUAAAGAAAUAAUAAAUAAUAAAUAAUAAAUAAGUUUCUGCCAAAAAGGGCAGAAACUGGAACUAACGGCAGAAACCAAUUCUUGGAAUUGGUUUCGAAAACCAAGAAUUAAAUAUUAAAAAAAAAAAGAAAAGAGAGAAGGAAACGAAAAAGGAAAAAAAAAAAAAAAAAAAAAAAAAAAAAAUAAAAAAAAAAAAAAAAAAAAAAGAAAAAAUAAUAAAAUAAAAUACAAAAUUUGCUUACCUCUGUUUGUAAGGUUUAACAGAUUUGUUUUCACAUCUGCUAAUUUCUUCAUAUAAAUAGGAGGGUAACAGACUUCACUUAAACCCAAUUUACCAUGAAACGUAAAAAGCCUGUUCAAAUCAAAUUUUUUAUGGGUCUAUUAAAUAAAUAAAUAAUCAAAAUUCAACAAAUUAAAAAAAAAUCUUAUUCUCAAAUUUGAAGGAUAAGAAUUUUAUCAAAUUCACAUUUUAUUCUCAAAUAUUUAAAUGUUUGAGAUCAAAUCAAAUAAAAAAAAAUCAAAAUCGAACAAUUCAAAAAAAAUAAAAAAAAAUCAAGAUUUAUUAAUUUAUUUAUUUCAUAAUAAAUAAAUAAAUCUUGAGGGGGCAUUUGUAGACAUAAAAAUAAAAUAAAAUGAAAUGGAUUGGAUUGGAUCGAUUUAAAUCAUUAGCCCAAUUAAAUUAAAAUCUACUAAGGUCCAUAAAUCCAAAGGCCUAUAUCAUAUUUUAAAUAAAUAAACAAACAAAUAAAUAAACAAAUAAAUAAAAUCAUAAUUACUCAAUUAUCUCUUUUAAUUAGAUGUAAUUGAGUAAUUACCAAAAUUAGCGCGAAUUCUCGCCUAUAAAUAGGACCAAUGGUCCAUAAGAAAGAGGGGACACAGAAAGCAAGCAAGAAAGAAAGCAGAGAACGCCACGAAGUGUUGAAGAAAUCACAAGGCUAAAAGAAGGGAAGAAAUUCUAUCAAACCUUAGCUCGAUGAACCCCAAGAAGAUUAAAAUCUUCUUCGAAUCAAACAGGUUCACGCCAAGUUUAAGGAGAUCAAAGUCUUCUUCAAAUCAAAUCAAAUUCAAGUCCAAGUCCAAACCUCAAGAUUCGAGUUCCAAACAAGUCAAAUCUCGACAAAUCAAAUUUUCCACAAAAUUAUUGAAGACCAGGAUUCAAGCCACGUGGCCCCUCAUCUUCAAAUAUUCAGAUCAUUAAUCAGAGGAUUUUGUAAUUUUGCAAUUACAAGAAGGUCAACAUCACUUGUAUUUAUCAAAAUACAAUUUGUAACGAUUUCUGUAUUUUAAUACACGAAAUUUCGUCGUACAGUCACACUCCACAUCCCCAGUACAAACCACCAUGUACCCCUAGGCAUCUAUACUCCACCUUAUCAAAAGACAUCCAACUCACUACUAAUGCAUCUCAAACUCACUAUGGCAAAUCAACAUCUUUCAGUGACCACAAAAGUUACUCCAAUCACCAAAGCUCAAAAAAUAGACAAAGAAAACGGCGAAGGUGACACUCACAAAGAAAAAUCGAAGAAAGAGUCGGUUACUAUGCAACACUCAUAAAGAAGGCUCACAAAGAGGAAGAAUAUAACCCUAACAUAGUUGCCUCACAUAAUCUCACAAACCACACAGGUUCACAAAGAUAAAGGAGAGAAACAGCUGCCCAACUUUUUUCUCACUACUACAUUCACACACCACUCACAGAGCAAAUAGAGUACACCACAAAAUUUAACCCACUAUACAUGUAAACAUAUUACACAAUGUAAUAAGUCACUCUAAUUCAUGCAAUUACACACAUCAAACAUAUUAAAAAUGUAACAUACCAACGUUGCAACAGAAUUAAGUGACCAUAUACAUGCAGAAAGAAUUACAUACAGAUGCAAUACAAGAACCAUGUUUAUUCUCUCAAUGAACCUCACUAGGAUCACUACUCGACCCUAAAGUCACAUUCACUUCUUCUCUAUCCUCAUUUUUCAUUUUAUUAUCAUCCUAGGACAAUCUCUUUCAACUAUACCCAAAUUUUACUAUAGUUAAAACAUAUUUUAUUUUUCGCACUUGCCUUAGACCUAUACAUGCCAACAAUACUAAAUAUUGACUACAAGCAAAGUACUGACACAUAAUUCACACAGAACAAUCAAGUAAAUUUUCUUAAAGUCACAUGCAAUUCUAUCGGUGUAGAAAAAAUUGAUGAUAAAUUCACAUGGAAUUUAAGUCAAUUAAUUAACAUGUAAUUCCUAGGUCUAGCAACAAGUAAUGGUUACUCCAAACCUAACGUCGCCCCACACGAUGACUUCUAACGCGAAAAAUAAAUAAUUAACCUACACAUUUAUUUUAACUGCAAUAAUAAAAAGCAAAGAAUACGAUACCGAGCGGAUCACGUCUGAAGGUCCGUAAAUAUCGAGACAUGCAAAUUUAUCACUUUAGGACCACCACUAUUCGUCCUAAAGUCUCUGAAAACUGCAGCAACCAAAAAACCACGGUCGAGUCCUGAACGCCUGAAGAACAACCCUGUCCAGAUUCUACUGCGUACCUUAAAACAGAAAACUUUCAACACAAAAAAUGUCAGAAAUAAUAUGAGGAACAAAUUGCCUGAAGGGACCUCCUUGAAAUUCACUCUCACGUGCCCUCACGCGCCCUCACGCGCCGGUUCUUCCCUCUACGCAUGGGCCACACGCGCCUCCGUCGACAGACACGCACCGCCCUGCAGGGUUCACCUCCUCCUGCACGUCACGCCAAUGGUCUCCGUUUCCCCAAACUCCUUUUGGAUUGGCCAGAAAAUGCGAAAAACGGAGACUCAUUCUGACAAUUUUUCGACAGCUUCUUCGAUCUGAUUUUUGCUACGAUUUCUGGACGUUUUGGUAUGUUUCACGAGCCAAAACCACCACCUUGAAGCUCUAAUACCAAUUGUUGCAGAAGCUCUCUUGAAAGAUCUUCAAAUCAGUGAUUUUCGAGCUCAAUCCAACGCACAUUUCUCAACCAACAACCAGUCCAAUCGGUUCCAAACUAUAACCAGUUGAUUCACCUUGAUUGCUAUUCACUCUUACCCACGUAGGACAAGAAAUGGUGAUGAUUUGUGGCCACAAAGGCUAGGAGAAGACAUCACAAAGGUAUACUAUGAAGGAACCAACAAUUGCACACGUUAUACAAGUGUUCUGGACACUUCUGGAGACCUUUUUUCUCACACAAAGGGGGACAGCUGGAAUUCUCUUUUUUCUUCUCUCAAAAUCACACAAUCAUCAUAAGAGAGUGGCUAGGGUUAUAGUCAUAUAUAUACUCUAGGGUUAGGCUUUAAGUUGAACCAUUAAAGGGGUAAACGGGCCAAAAUUCAAGCCAUCCAUAAGAGAAUACAAUUAGGCCGAGUGUAUCUCAUGGACUUGAUUGUUGGACUUAUUUCAUUCAUCGGCCUAUGCCUAUGAAAUAAUAUUAACCUACGUUAACAUCAUAGCUCAGAAUUUAUUGGGUAUCAAAAAACCUAACAUACUUGAUUUAAAGUUUCAUUUUCAAUUACACAUUUCAUGAGAUCCAUAACUUUUAUCAACUAAUCAAUCAUUCGCCUUAUCAACUUUUAUCAAGGUCCAUUAAGAAUUAUAUUUUAAAAAAAAUCAAAUAGGAGCUUAAUAAAAAUUAUAAGUUUCAAUAUUCUAUUACUUGAGUUGUGAGAAUUAGCAGAGUUUCCAAACUUUUUAAAAAAUGUGAAGCCAGGUCUUAAAUCUUUUUAUCUUAGCACAUACAUUUAAAAUAUUUUAAUAAAUGGGUGCUGAAUUUGAAUGAUUCUAAUUUUUGGCACAAUAUUGGAGACCUAAACCCUUGCAUUUAAAUGCUGUCUUUGACACUUUGACAAGGAGAGGAAAGAUCCUUUUGACAUGAUUUUUGAGAAGUUAAAAGGAGCUUUUAUGAUUCAAAGUUGUUUGUAGACCCGUUUAAUUAAUUUUAUAAAAUAUUUCUUUUAUCGUGAAGAGUUUUUAAGAUAAGCUCAUUCAACAUGGCUUCUUCUAAAAGUUCUUUAGAGAGAGAAAAUUCUUUUAAAAAUUAAUUUGCAAAAACCAACUAAAAUAGCCUUCUUAUGAAGUUCUCUUACAAGAAAUAAAAGUCCUGCCAAAUUGUCGGAAGACUAAUUGAAGAUUCUAAAUGUGAACUCAAAAACAAAAUUCUCUCAGCGUAUCAGACUUUUGGCCUAUUUAGUUCUCUAGAUAGAUAUUAGGUCUUGUUCUAUAGUACAAGGUUUUAAUUUAGGGAAAAUUCCCUUAAAACCUACAAUUAAAUAUUAAUUAUCAUAAAUAAGACGGAUUAGUUUAAAAUUCACAUAUCUGGUCAUAAUAAAAUUUUAAUAAUUAUAACUAAUAAAAAUUAAAUCAAGCAUAGUGUACAUAUUCACCCGAAUUAAUUUCGCAGGGGCUCAAUAUAGCAGGUGGACCACACAUAUAAAAAAAAAAAAAAACUGCUAUAGGCCCCACUGUGUGUAUCAUGAUAGGGACCCACCCGUCUCAUAGAACAAGGAAUUGAGUUCUAAAAAAUAGGAAUGAAAGUGAGAAUGUAAAUUCCCAAAAAAGUACAAAAAUGAAUACAGAAAGGAUGAAUACUAAAGUGAGAUUAGCAUAUGAACGGUGAUUCUUCGAUUUUAGGCCAUUUCCAACGCUGCACUAAAUUUUGCACUAAAUCUUGCACCAAACCAAAAUUCUUCUCCAACCAUUACACUAAAAUUUACAUCAAAUGAACAGUACUUUAUUAUUUUAUUCAUUCUUUCUAUUUUUGACAAUGUAUUUAUUUAAAAAAAAUAUUUAUUUUAUAACUAUAUAAAUUACUAAAUCAUAACUUCGUUAAAUUAACAAGUAUAUUGAUUACUAAAUUAUUCACGUGUCUUAUAUAUUAUGUUAAAUUGACAAAAAUAAUUGAUUAUAUUAUUAAUUUAUGAUAAACAAUUACGUUAAAUUUACAAAAAUAAUAAAUUUACAUUAAAUUAACAAUUACGUUAAUUAUUAUUGAUUAUAUUAUUAAAAAUAAUAAACUUUAAUAAUAUAAUUAAUAGUGUAAUUAUUAUUAUCAUCAUUAUUAUUAUAGAACGAAAAUGACACAAAUAUCUUUAAUUAUUAUCUUUGAAAAAAGAAAAAUAAGAACUGGACAUUACACUAUUUCAUUACACCAUUUUUUUUUUUUGCACCAAAUGGACAUUUGAUGUAAUGUCCAUUUGGUGCAACACUAUUCAUGUUGCACCAUUUUGCACCAAAAUUUGGUAGUGGUGCAACGGUUGGAGAAAGUUUGCACCAAAUUUUGGUGCAAUGGUGCAUCCAUUAGAGAUGUCUUUAAGGCCCUGAUUGCACCCAUUUGUUUUAAUGUUUAUCAAUUUUUAUUAAUGGGUGGGUUUUUGAUCAAAUGUUGUUUUGAGAUGGCUGUUGGUUGUUUCGUUGUUGCUAGCAGUGUAGGCGUCGAUGAAUCUGUUGCUGGUGGUCAUGGUGAGGUGGUGAGCAUUUGGUUAUUGAUGGUGGUGUUAGAGGAGUGGUGGUAACAGCAGCAAUGGGAUGUGACCAAUGCUAUCUUUAAUGUGACUUGUCUAUGACUAGAUCUUCGACUAUAUGUGAUUUGGUUACAUGCAAUCACAAAUUACGGGUUUGUUUGAUUUAGGUGAUAGAAUAGUUUGAUUUAGAUUUAAAAUUGUAUUGAUUUGUAACAAAUAAUUAAAUGAAAAAUAUGUUAAAAAUUAUUCAAAUUGGACCUCGCAUGUUAAGUAGUCGAUUAUUCAGGUCACUUCACUAUAGGGGUGACAGACGUUCGAGCUGCUCAUCGUGUCAGUCAUGGACUCGGCUAGUCCCAUGAACGGUUCAACCUCAUUUUGAAACAAGUCAUGGAUCGAGCUGAACUCACUUUUUUAUAUUAGCUCGGCUCAUGAAAUCACUAGCCGACUGAUGUAGUCUUAGAUGGCUCGAUACGAUUCCAUUUCAUGAUUGUUUUCUAUCCCAUAUCACACAUAACUAUGGCUUGAGCCCCCGCAAUAAUUUGGCUGAUAAGGUUGUUGAGUCUUCCUUACCUACUAAUUUUUCCCGUUUAUCGUAAAAGAUAAAAAAUGUCUCGUGGAUUUUUUACUACCUUCUCAAGCUUUUGACAAUUGAUUCAUGCGAAUCAAUGAAUCAAGUGGUCUUCCCAAAAGAAGAGAAAUUUAUCUAUUACCUCCCUUAUUUCAUGGAAAAUUUGCAAUUAACUCCAGAGUCAAUAAUUAAUUUCACUUUCCUCUUCACUAUUAGGAUUCCAUCAAUGAUCAGUCAAUUUAUGUUAAAAGAUUAAAUUGCCCAACAUCUCAUUCAUUCACAAUGUAUAAUAAAUUGUAAUUUUUAUAUAUUUUGUAUUUCUAUGAAGUAUGAUUGCAGAGUAUAUUUCUUAAUUUAUGCCUCGUGGCUCUUUUUCAACUGAUAGCAAAACUCAACCGCUUAAAUUUUUUUACCAAAGUGGAAUCAGACCAACAUGUUUAGUUAUAGACUAAAAAAGCCAAAAUGAUCUAAUCAGUACGAUAUAAUCAACAAUACAUAAUAAAUUAUAGUUGGAGAAAUGAUUUAAUGAGUAGUGACUAAACACAUAUAUCAAUUUAUUGAUGAACAAAUUUAUGGUUGGUACCAACUACCAAGGUUUGAAUUAAAUUUAUCAUCAAUAAAUUUAUACUUAUAACAACAUAUUUGGUACUUUAAAUUAAAUAAAACUGAUUAAUUACCUUUUAUCAUUGGACUCAAUUUUUGGCCAACCACCAAACACAAUCUCAUAAAAUAAGGGAAGGUUUGCGGUUUUGCUCCCUAAACAUUCACAAAUAAAAGCACAUGGAUCCUCAAUCAAUUUUCAUUGAUCUUUACGUCCCCAACCUUAUGCCCUUGUUUGAGCCCCAUUAUUUUCAUCAAAAUACAUUUUUCAACAGUGAUUUGACCCUACUUCAAUGACAAGUUCUUCAAUAAAAUAAUAUUACAUGCAAAUCCAAAAUUUUUCUUUAUUUUUUAACAACACAUUUUCCAUCAAUACACCGUUCGAAAAUGUAUUUUUUUUUUUUUUGUCAAGAAUAGGACUCAAACAAGGGCAACAUGUGGGUCUCUACUAGUGAAAACCAUCAUUUCAUAAUUCAAAUAUCCAUUUACUUUGCAUGUAAUGUGUAUUAGAUGGUUUUUUCCCCAUCCAUCUCUAUGCUUAGAUUUACAUGAUCUCCGGCAAAGACAAGUAUGAUGCACUAAUCUCGUGACAAAAAUACGCUUAAUAACCUUUCUUCGCUUUUCUAUCGAGUGAAGCACCGAGCCUACGCUUCUCCUUAGGAAUGCACUGGGAAAGUAAAUGUUCGAAGGAAAAAUCGAUAGUUUGGAUCCAAUACAAAUGGGCUACUAUAGGGGUAGGGAGAAUGGCUUCUUCUGCGUUACAAUCUGAAUAAGAAAUCUUAGAUUUCACCCUACUCGUCAAUGGUAAAAUAGAAUUCGAGAAAACUACUAGCUAGUAGAUUAGAAAUAUCUUUAUGGAAUGGCUCUACUCGUGCUUGAGCUAUUUGAUCAACCAAUCCAAUCUCCUAUUUGAGGACAUCUAUGUUGAAAGUUUGAAAAACUAGAAAAAAUAAUCAGGAAUUUACGCGAUUUAUGUAUAAAAAGUUCAAGGACCACAUUGCACAAUUUCUAAUAGAUAAAAGUUGUAUUAAUCCAAAGAAAUAUGCUAAUCUUUAAAUAGCCUCUUAUCUGUCUCCAAUUGUACUCUAUAGUGUCACUCUGUUUUCCGUUGGACUCGUUAAACCCAACAAAAUCAAGAAAAAGAAAAUCAAAGAGAAAUGUCUGCUGAAGAAGUAUUCAUUGGUUCCAUCGAUCAAGGAACAACCAGCACAAGAUUCAUCAUCUACGACCUCUCUGCUUCUCCCAUUGGAUCCCACCAAGUUGAGUUCACCCAGUUCUACCUACAAUCAGGGUAUAUAUAUAUAUAUAUAUAGAUAUAAAUAUUCAAUUUUUUUGGUUUUAUUUUUUACUAUGCGUCAAUCUCGGAUAUCCCGCCUGUGUUAUACAAGACAAGAUUUACAAAAGAGUUCAGUGUUAAAAUUUUGCGCCUGUCACAUAUUUCUUUAAAAAAUGAAUUCGAUCUAAGAGUUAGGGGUGUGAAGAUUAGGCUUAUAUGAACGCAUGGGACCUUUAGACGGGAAGGUUGUCAUAUGCUUUGACUACUUGGCAGAUGGGUGGAGCAUGAUCCAAUGGAGAUUCUUGAGAGUGUGAGAGUGUGCGUAUCAAAGGCUGUUGAUAAAGCCACUGCUGCUGGACACAACGUUGACAAUGGAUUAAAAGCUAUUGGUUUGACCAAUCAGAGAGAGACAACUGUUGUUUUGAGCAAAUCUACUGGCCUCCCUCUCUACAAUGCCAUUGUUUGGAUGGAUGUCUGUACUAGUUCAAUUUGCAGGUGAAUUCAUCUUCAUAUUAUAUUCUGAUUUUCAUUUGAGAAUACCGCAUAAUUUUUUUUUUUAUAUGGUUUAUGAUCAAUAUGUUGGAAAAAAUUGAGUGAGCGGCUCACUUUUGUUACAAUUUUCGAUGGGACCCAUUGGUCCAAUGUGGAAUAUCAAAGUUGAUAUGUGUUUUCCUCCGCGAGAACAUCGAUUUCAUGUAUUUAUUUGCCAAGAAUGAAGCUCUGGUGAACGAGAAAUUGGAGCUCAAAGUUGGUCAUUGGAAGUUGGUUUUGUGGGAAAAAAUGCAUUUAUCCCGCGUAGGAAAAUCAAGGAAACUUAAACCACUUUAUAUAUGGCUAUGCUUUGAAGAUGUGUAAUCAUGUGUAGCAUAGAGGCUCUCUCCACGUGCUCGUGCAAAGGGGUGCAAAUUACGAACCGAAAUGGCCUUCAGACCUUAAACUUGGGUGCAGAUGCGACCUGCGCACACGAAUGUCGGACCGAACAAGGCAAAAAUGGCCCCAUCAGAGAGCCCAUGUUUUGCCAAUUUUUUUUUUGGCUUUCUCCAAUAACUUUUGAGUUUCUAAACUGCAGAAACUCUCAAUGUUUAUUGCUAGAACUGAAAGGCUGAAACUCCAGUGACUCCAAUAGACAGGACUCAGUCUAUAUAAGGGAGCUCACUCCAACAGUUCAAUACACGAACGAAAUUUUCUCUUUGCAUACGAAAAUAUUAUUCCCAAUUUUUCACGCAGUGUCGUUUUUCCCAGUUUCAGUUUCCAUACAGUGUAGUUUCUGUUCCCUUCCAGUUCGCCGGAGUAGGACCACGGUGCUCGGAUUCUGCUUAUUACCGUUGUAUCAUGGGAAACAGCUGCUCGAACUGAACCUCCAGCACCUACAGUGAGGGGGUUAAACUGUCUUAAGGAAACUGUGCACGCAUAGGCCUUGGUUUGAAAUCUGCUGCAGUUUGUGUUUUCUUUCUGCAGAUUAUUUUUGCAUUACUAUUUAAUUCAUGCAGUUUGUAGUUCCAUAAUGUGUAGCUUCCAGAUUCAUCGUUUACAUUUUUAGCCUGCAGUUAACUUAUAUUUCUGAUUUUAUGUUGCUAAACAUUUUUUUUAGCCGUUGGAAAAUUCUGAAACGGAAAUUUUUUUGAUAAAUUGAAACCGUUUGCCUUGUGGUUAUUAAUUUCAAUAGUCGGCUAUUGCAUUUGAAUAAAACUUAUACAAUUGGUUUCAUCCACUAGCGACUUGUUUUCCUACAAGCUUAAGACAGUUUCUGAAUUCGGAAAACAAGAGUUGGUUUUUGGUUUAACUGAAUUUUAGUUACUUGGAACUAAUAUUUGGUUUUAAAAAACAAAAGUCAUUUUUUUUUGUUUCAUUGAAUUGUAGUUUCUUGGAACUAAUAAUUGGUUUGUUUUCAGAAAUGGCAACUGAAUCGAACAACAUGGAUGUGACCCAAAAUGUUCCCUCUGGAAAUCAGGCUGUGGGUUCUAAUGUGGCUCAAGGGCCAAGCUCCGUUGUGGCUCAGACUGUGGUUAGAAUGCCAAGUCAUGUUGUGAGCUAAACUGGCCAAAUUGUAACUGUUCCGGUCAAUCAUGGAGAAAAAUCGGAGAAAUUCAAUGGCUUGAAUUUCAAAAGGUGGCAGUAGAAAAUGCUUUUUUACUUGACCACUUUGAAUCUUGCGAGAUUUUUGACUAAAACUGCUCUAAAGCUUAAUGAGGGCGAGGGAGAUGUGCAAGCAUUGAGUGCACUUGAUGCUUGGAAGCAUUCGGACUUUCUGUGCCGAAAUUAUAUCAUGAUCAGCCUAGCAGAUGCGCUGUACAAUGUGUAUAGCACCAUGAAAACUGCUAAGGAAUUGUGAGAGUCCUUGGACCGGAAAUACAAAACUAAGGAUGCCGGGACUAAAAAGUUUAUAGUCGGCAAAUUCCUAGAUUAUAAGAUGGUGGACUCCAAAACUGUUAUCAGUCAAGUGUAAGAACUCCAAGUGACCCUUCACGAAAUUCAUGCCGAAUGAAUGAUGUUGAGUGAAACUUUUCAGGUGGCUGCAAUUAUAGGAAAAUUGCCCCCCACAUGGAAAGAUUUCAAGAACUAUUUGAAACACAAAUGAAAAGAAAUGAACGUCGAAGAACUCGUUGUUAGACUUCAAAUCUAAAAGAAGUGGUUCAAUCCUGGUGUGGCAAAACCCAUGUUGUGAAACUUGGUCAAAGUAGUAAGAAUUACAAAAACAAGUCUGGGCCAUCCGGUGGCAAAAGAACCAAGGAAGGACCGAAAGGUGGAAUUGUCAAGAAGAAAUUCCAAGGGAAAUGCUUCAAUUGUGACAAAGUGGGUCACAAGUAUUCGGAGUGCAGAUUACCGAAGAAGAAGAAAGAAGUGAACGUGGUUGACUAUAUGGCACAAGAUGUGUCGGAGCUGAAUCUCGCAGCAGUCAUUUCUGAAGUAAACAUGGUGGGUUCAAACCCUAAAGAGUGGUGGAUUGACACCGGUGCUACAAGGCAUGUGUGCUCUGAUAAAGAGAUGUUUGAUACGUUCGAAGCUGUUGAGAACGGGGAGAAGUUGUUCAUGGGAAAUUCAGCAACUUCUGAAAUCAAGGGUCAAGAAAAAGUGGUUCUGAAGAUGACCUCGGGAAAGGAGCUCACUCUCAACAACGUGCUUUAUGUGCCGAAAAUUCGCAAGAAUUUAGUGUCCGGGUCGCUUUUGAAUAAGCAUGAUUUUCGCAUUGUUUUUGAGUCAUACAAAGUCAUUCUGUCAAAAAUGAAAUGUUUGUCGGAAAAGAUUAUGUUUUCGAUGGUAUAUUUAAACUCAAUGUAAUGGUUGUGAAACCAAAAAUGAAUAAAGCAAGUUCUUCUGUUUAUUUGCUUGAGUCUUUUAAUUUGUGGCAUGGUAGACUAGGACACGUUAACUAUGAUACUUUACGAAGACUAGUUAACUCUAACUGCAUACCUAAGUUCAAUAAUGAUUCCAAACAUAAGUGUGAAACUUGUGUUGAAACAAAAUUGACAAGAUCAUCGUUUAAAUCAAUUGAACGGAACACAGAACCACUAGAUUUAGUUCACAGUAACGUGUGUGAUCUAAAACUUGUACAAACAAGAGGUGGCAACAAAUACUUUAUUACUUUUGUCGACGAUAGCACAAAAUACUACUAUGUAUAUCUGUUUAAAAGCAAGGAUGAAGCUAUAGAGAAAUUUAUUCUCUAUAAGAAUGAAGUUGAGAAUCAACUUAAUAAGAAAAUUAAGGUGUUGCGAAGUGAUCGAGGUGGUGAGUAUGAAGCACCAUUUGCUGAAUUCUGUGCACAACACGGAAUCAUACAUGAAACCACCGCCCCUUAUUCACCGCAACAAAAUGGUGUUGUUGAACGAAAAAAUCGUACCUUAAAAGAGAUGAUGAAUGCAAUGCUCGUAAGUUCUGGGUUACCUCAAAACAUGUGGGGGGAAGCUGUGUUAUCAGCAAAUUACCUUUUAAAUAAGGUGCCCCGAAAGAAAUCGGAAAAGACCCUUUAUGAGUUAUGGAAAGGAAGAAUGUCUACCUAUAAACACUUGCGAGUGUGGGGGUGUCUUGCUGAAGUGGCUGUUCCACCACCAAAGAAGGUAAGGAUAGGCCCGAAAACUAUAGACUGUGUCUUCAUUGGCUAUGCACAUAAUAGCAGUGCGUAUAGCUUUCUUGUGUAUGAUUCAAAAAUUCUAGACAUACACAAAAACACGAUAAUGGAAUAAAGGAAUGCUACAUUCUUUGAAGAAGUAUUUCCAUACAGAUCCAAAAAGGAAACAAGCUCCUCUAAACGAACAUAUGAGACAAUGACUGGAAACAGUCAGAAUGAAGAAUUGGAAGAGGAGACUGAGAUUAGACGCAGCAAACGGGAAAGGACAGAAAAAUCUUAUGGUCCUGAUUUUCUGACCUAUAUGCUAGAAAGUGAACCUCAAAGUUAUCAAGAAGCAGUGAAUUCCUCGGAAGGACCUCAAUGGAAAGAAGUCAUUGAAAGUGAAAUAGAUUCCAUACUACAAAAUCAUACGUGGGAGCUAGUGGAUCUUCCUCCAGGAAGCAAACCACUAGGCUACAAAUGGAUUUUCAAAAGGAAAAUGAAAGCAGAUGGAACUAUCGAGAAGUAUAAGGCCAGAUUAGUAAUUAAAGGCUACAAACAAAGGGAAGGCCUUGAUUACUUUGAUACGUAUUUUUCAGUGACGAGAAUAACAUCUAUUAGGAUGAUACUUGCGAUUGCCGCUUUGCGAAAUCUUAAAGUACAUCAAAUGGAUGUUAAAACUGCCUUUCUAAAUGGAGAUUUAGAAGAAGAAAUUUACAUGGAACAAUCUAAGAGGUUUUUGUCACCAGAACAGGAAAAGAAAGUCUGUAAAUUGGUGAAGUCACUAUAUGGCUUGAAAUAAGUACCAAAACAAUGGCAUGAAAAAUUUGACAAUGUCAUGAUUGAGAGUGGUGAUAAGUGUAUUUUUGCACACUUAUUUAGAUCACAAACAUGACUUAAAUACAAGCAAAAUGAUUGAAUUGUGACUUAAUCUCAUUGAAUUCAUGCAAUGUAGGUAUUUCUAUGGAAAUAGUGGAAUUCAGGAGAAGAGAGCCGAAAAAGGACUAAAAUGAAUUAAACUGAAAGUUCGGGGACCAAGUUGCAAAUAAUUCAUAGAUGAGAUGGGAAAUGGAAUGAAGAUUCAAGAGUGUUAGAAGUCAAUCGGAUGAGGAAAGGAGUCACGAGGUGAAAUAGGGUCGAAGUAUUAUCAAGUAUCAACUUUCAGGCGAAAAAGCUAUGCUCGUGAUUUUUAGUAUCUACUUGAGAUCUAUUUUUCGCAUAGUAAAAAUCAGAAUUUGAGAAAGUCUAUUUCUAUCAAAAAUGUAUAUCUUUGAGUUUUCUUCUCAAUGCACUUUGAAUCACUUCAAUUGGAGAUCAGAUAAGAAAGUUAUGACCAAAAUUCUAAAAGCUGUCCGGCGGAAAGAAUGUAUGCCUAUGCGGUCGCAUAGUAUAAACUCUAUGCGGUCGCAUAGAAUCCUCCCGAGAACUUUUUCUCAAAUUUUGUUUACUCUAUGCGACAGCAUAGGUUAUGCCUAUGCGGUCGCAUAGGUAUAAUCUAGGGGCCGUUUUGCAGUUUCCUUAUACGAUUGAAACUUCCUUUGGUAACCUAAUUUCCACGCGAUUUAAAUACGAAAGAACGUCCAGAAGAAGGGGAGAACGUAAUUGGAGGCACAAAAACACAAUUUUGGAGGAUUUGGAGGGGAAGAAUAAGGCAAAAACAAGGCAAUCCACUUCAAGAUUCAAGAUUUCACUUCAAGAAUCAAUUGGGUGAUAUUCUUCCUUGGUUUUAGUUGUUGUUGUUUUUUAUUUCUCAUCAUGUUAGACUAGAUUUUCUUGUGCUAGGAGAUCGAUGUACCAUGUGAUUUGAGUUUUAUAUUUCUAGUUUUGCAAUUUGACAUUAAAACAUAUUUCUUUUGUUUUGAAUGAUUUAUAUGUAUUUAUUGUUUCCGCAAUUAAGGGCCCGUAAUUGUAUAAGUUUGGGUGAUUUAUUCUUGCAUUCGAGAGAAUUGGAAUAGAUUCGACAUAAUAUAAAUCAUCGUAGCGUCCGAUAGGGGAUAGAAAUAUACCGCUAUGCCCAACGUGAGUCUUUAAGUGUUCAUAAAACUACAUGCAUUUUUACAUAUGCAUUUGUCAUAGAAAUAUAGGCCAGUGGUAUGUAGAAAUAGGUUUGAUACAUCUCUAGAGAGAGUAUUGGAUAGAUUUAGGAACAUUGAUUCGUCAACAAUUGAAUUAUGUUGUCAUAUUGUGAAAUUAGAGUUUAAAGUGAUAAUUGCAUGGGAAAUCGUGAUCCUAGUGUGUUUAAUUUCUAUUGAUUACAACAAACGUGCGUUCUCAACAAUUGAUUUCAUUUUAGAGUUUUAAAUUAUUGUUUUGCUUAUUAAUUUCAUUACAAUCAUAAAAGUUGCAUAAGUAGGGUUUUCUUUCCAAUUUUAGAGUUUUAAUUAGGUCCACAUUUAUUUUGAGUAAUUUGGUUUCGGUUAAGGUCGAAUAAGUAAAAUUGAACUAACCAAUCUCUGUGGGACGAUACUUGGACUCAUUGAAUCCACUUUAUUACUUGUUAACGAACCGUACACUUGCGGUAAUUUAAAUCGAAAGAAAAUAUUUCGUGAACAAGUGGAUUUAAAAUCAAUGAAUGUGACAAAUGUGUUUACGUCAAAAACACUAAAGAUGGAUAUGUCAUCUUAUAUCUUUACGUUGACGACAUACUUAUUGUUGGUAGUGACAAUAAGAUGAUUGAAUCCACUAAAAAUAUGUUAAACUCGAGAUUUGACAUGAAAGAUAUGAGUUUAGCUGAUGUUAUACUUGGAGUGAAAAUCUCAAGAACAUCAAAUGGGCUUGUUCUAAGUCAGUCACAUUAUGUGAACAAAAUUUUAGGAAAAUUCUAUAAGGAUGAUACUGGCUUGGCUAGAACACCAAUAGAUACGAGUCAACAUUUGUCUAAAAACAGAGGAGAAAGUAUCUCUCAAGUAGAAUACUCGAGAGUUAUCGAAAGUCUAAUGUACUUAAUGAGUUGUACUAGACCAGACAUAGCCUACACAGUCAGUAAACUGAGUAGAUACACGAGUAAUCCAAGAACUGAUCACUGGAAAGGAAUUGUAAGAUUACUAAGGUACUUAAGAUAUACUCGUGACUAUGGACUACAUUAUACUAGAUAUCCAGCAGUCAUUGAAGAAUACAGUGAUACUAAUUGGAUAUCUAAUAUAAAAGACUCAAAAUUCACCAGUGGAUAUGUGUUCACCUUGGGUGGUGAUGCCAUAUGGAAAUCCUCUAAGCAGACGGUUAUAGCCAGAUCUAUGAUGGAAUCUGAGUUUAUAGCUCUAGAUAAAUUUGGUGAAGAGGCUGAAUGGUUGCGCAACUUCUUAGAGGAUAUUCCAAGAUGGUCAAAACAUGUGCCAGCAAUUUGCAUAUAUUGUGACAGUCAAUCGGCAAUAGGAAGGGCACAGAGUAACAUAUAUAAUGGUAAGUCUAGACGUAUACGUCGUAGACACAAUACCAUAAGACAACUACUCUCAACUGGAGUUAUCACUAUUGACUAUAUAAGGUCAAAAGAUAACAUUGCGGACCCGCUAACCAAAGGGUUAAAUUGAGAGUUAGUUAUGAAAUUAUCGAAAGGAAUGGGACUUAAGCGCUUGAAAGAAUAAGUCAUUACAAAGGAAAACCCAACCUAGUUGACUGGAGAUCCCAAGAUCUAGGUUCAAUGGGAAAACCUAACUGUAAAAACUUGAUAAAAUCACUGUGGGGAUAUUACCUCCUGUUCAUUCCUAUGAUGUAACAGUGAUGCCCGUAAGGUUGAAGGUUAAACAAUAGGCUUUUAAUGAUUCUUAUGCGUCGUAAAUCGAGCCAAGUAAUGCGGGUUACUUGUAAUAAGAAAUCACCAAUGUGAGAGAGAAGUGGGGCCGCUUCUAAGAGAAUUGUGUGGGGCUCAAUUCUUAAGAACUCUCACAGAACCAGGCAUAUGUUCAUAGCCAAAACGAACAUAACAAUAAGAACUAGAUUGUGUUAGGAAGAAUCCUGUGUGAGGUAUAUCAUCGUUUACACAAACGACAAAACAGUUCAAGGACAUCGCGUCUACUGGUCAGCCAGUAAAGUAAAUAUGCUUUCACAAGGAAAGGUUCAAAGGGUAACAUCUACCUAUCCUAUGCAGGAUUCAACCGCUGAACUUUAUCACCAAGUUUUGUGUCUCACGUUUCGUGUCUCUCUCAAUUUUCAUUCAUGUGAAGAAUUGUUGGAAAAAAUUGAGUGAGCGGCUUACUUUUGGCACAAUUUUCGAUGGGACCUAUUGAUCCAAUGUGGAAUAUCAAAGUUGAUAUGUGUUCUCCUCCACGAGAACAUCGAUUUCAUGUAUUUAUUUGCAAAAAAUGAAGCUCGGGUGAAUGAGAAAUUGGAGCACAAAGUUGGUCAUUGAAAGUUGGUUUUGUGGGAAAAAAUGCAUUUAUCCCACAUAGGAAAACCAAGGAAACUUAAACCACUUUAUAUAUGGCUAUACUUUGGAGAUGUGUAAUCAUGUGUAGCAUAGAGGCUCUCUCCACGUGAUCGCGCAGGGGGGUGCAAAUCACGAACCGAAAUGGCUUUCGGACCUUGAACUUGCGUGCGGGCGCGGGCGCGACCUGCGCACACGAAUGUCGAACCGAACAAGGCAAAAAUGGCCCCAUCGGAGAGCCCACGUUUUACCAAUUUUUUUUUUUUUUUGGCUUUCUCCAAUGACUUUUGAGUUUCUAAACUACAGAAACUCCCAAUUUUUAUUGCUAGAAUUGAAAAGCUGAAACUCUAGUGGUUAAUGUCGUAACUCCAGUGACUCCAAUGGACAGGACUCAGUUUAUAUAAGGGACGCUCACUCCAACAGUUCAAUACACGAACGAAAAUUUCUCUCUGCAUACGAAAAUAUUCUUCCCAGUUUUUCACGCAGUGUCGUUUUUCCCAGUUUCAGUUUCCAUACAGUUUAGUUUCUGUUCCCUUCCAGUUCGCCGAAGUAGGACCACAGUGCUCGGAUUCUGCUUAUUACCGUUGUAUCCUAGGAGACAGCCACUCGAACUGAACCUCCAGCACCUACGGUGAGGGGGCGAAACUGUCUUAAGGAAACUGUGCACGCACAGGCCUCGGUUUGAAAUCUGCUACAGUUUGUGUUUUCUUUCUGCAGAUUAUUUUCGCAUUACUAUUUAAUUCAUGCAGUUUGUAGUUUCAUAGUGUGCAGUUUCCAGAUUCAUCGUUUACAGUUUUAGCCUGCAGUUAACUUAUAUUUCUGAUUUUAUGUUGCUAAAUAUUUUUUUUAGCCGUUGGAAAAUUCUGAAACGGAAUUUUUUUUUGAUAAAUUGAGAUCGUUUGCCUUGUGGUUAUUAAUUUCAAUAGUCGGCUAUUGCAUUUGAAUAAAACUUAUACAAUAGAUUUCAUCCACUAGAGACUUGUUUUCCUACACAAUAUCUGUUUGUUAAAUAAACCAUAUUUGAAUUGGAUUGUGAUUACAUUGGAAUUCUGUUCAUUGUAGCUCUUAAGAAGCCUCUAACUAAGACUGGAUUUUAUUUAGUUUUAAUCAAAUUUCAUAAAUUUUCAAUUCUAGGAUCAUUUAAUUUCGAAUCAUUGUUGAAUUUUAACAAUAGCUUUUUUGGAGUUUUACUUGUUUGGUAUUUUGUUGUUGUGAGAUUCAAUCAAACUUAUGAAUUUGCGGUGCAUAAUUUGUUUCUUUUAUUCUUUUUAGAAAAUUGGAGGAGUUACCGGGGGGAAGAACUCAUUUUGUUGAGACAUGUGGUUUGCCAAUAAGCACUUAUUUCAGUGCAGUGAAGCUGUUGUGGUUGUUGGAAAAUGUGGAUGCUGUAAAGGAAGCCGUGAAGAAGGGAGAUGCCUUGUUUGGAACUAUAGAUACCUGGUUGAUUUGGAACUUGACAGGAGGGACAGAUAACGGUUUACGACUGACGUGUCAAAUGCUUCAAGAACUAUGUUGAUGAACCUUAAGACACUAGAUUGGGAUAAACCCACUCUGGAUACAUUGGGAAUUGCUGCUGAGGUUCUGCCAAAAAUUGUUAGGAAUGCUGAGAUAAUUGGUAACGUUGGCAAGGGAUGGCCAGUUACCGGGAUCCCGAUAUCUGGAUGUUUGGGUGAUCAACACGCAGCAAUGGUGGGGCAGGCUUGCCGGAAAGGUAAGGCUAAAGGUACCUACGGUACAGGGACGUUUAUACUUCUCAAUACAGGUGAGGAGGUAAUUAAGUCAAAUCAUGGGCUAUUGAGCACUUUGGCAUAUAAGCUUGGGCCGAAAGCUCCCACCAACUAUGCUCUAGAGGGUUCCAUUGCCAUUGCUGGAGCAGCAGUUCAAUGGCUGAGGGACAGCCUUGGCUUAAUCAAGAUUGCAAUUGAGAUUGAAGAGUUGGCCUUGCAGGUUGAUUCGACAGGAGGGGUUUAUUUUGUUCCAGCUUUCAAUGGGUUUUUUGCCCCAUGGUGGCGUGAUGAUGCUCGAGGAAUUUGUAUUGGGAUCACAAGGUUUACAAACAAAUCUCAUAUUGCUCGGGCCGUUCUUGAGAGCAUGUGCUUUCAGGUGAAAGAUGUCUUGGAUUCCAUGAACAAGGAUGCUGGGGAAAAAGGUGAAGCUAAGAAUGCCAAGGGAGAAUUCUUACUUAGAGUGGAUGGUGGUGCAACGGUUAACAACCUUCUGAUGCAAAUUCAGGUAUUGUUUCUGCAUUUAUUAUAACAACUAAUUGGGUUAACAUUUUCCUGUGGCUAUUUUAAUGGCAACUGUUGAGAAGUGCUCACGCCCACACUUGCACAGAGAGAGAGAGAGAGUUGUAUUCUUAUUCAUAACCAACUUUGCAGUUAAUAGGAUAUAACUUUUUAAGGAAUUAGGAUGAUUGUUUUCAACUCGUUCAUCAUCGCAGUCAACUCUUCUUAAUGAUUGUAGUUUAUGUGUAAAAAUUAUUCGAAGCAUUGUAGUUUUGCUUCAAUUUUUUAUUUUAUUUUCACACGUCAACUCUAUUGAACUCAUUAAAGUCUUGUUGAUGUGCUAUAUGAAUCAUCUCCUUUAAACUCUACUCAAUCUGGAGCCUUCUCCAAACUUCUGGAGGCAAGAAACCCAAAUAUCCGUGUCCAUAUGAAACUAAUGAAAUUUCAUGUUGACUGCCAGACUAACACAAGCCUUUCUAUCAGUGGUUGGAAUCUGCCAUGUUAAAAAACAAUAAACGUGAACCCCUGUCAUAAAAAAAAAUAUAUAUGUGAAGCAAAGCUGACAUCGAUUAUUUUUAGAUAUUAAAAUUGCAACUUAUUCUGGAGCCUUACAAAGAUAUUGGAAACAAUCUUUAGAAUUUCAGUUCAUUCAUUAACUCGCGUCUUUCAUCAGUUUGAUUAGAACACACUUUUUAUCCUACGUAAUGGAGGUUUUUUCCAUGAUGAAGUUCACACGAGUAGAAUGUCAUGCUUAUUCAAUUUUUCCAAUAUCAUGCUGUGCUUGUGAUACUGAGAGCUUCUUUAACCCAUCUUUUUCGGUGAAAUUAUUAGCUUGGUCCUGGGGUCGGAGAAGUGUAGGGAGGAUUUGGGGUGGGGGUGCUUUGAUUUUAAGGAUCUCAGUAGCCUUGGCUGCAGCCUUCCGGGCCGGGUUUUAUUGCCGUUUCAUUGAUUUUUUUGGCUUGAAUCAACAUGCAGACCUUUGAAAAUGUCUCCCAGAAUUAUCCACAGUUCCAGAUAGGAUCAAUAUUAAUUGUUUAUCUUGACAAUUCUGCUUGAUUAUUAGGAGACUGAAAAUCAUUGCUCUUAAUACUAUCCACGGUUAUGGUCUUUACUCAUUUGAUUUCAUUUUGCUUCCUUACAGAAAUCGAAAGGUUUAAAUGUAUUAUUUAUUAUCGAAUUUUGAGAAUCAUUUUUCACUAAUUCACUGUGGUUCAGGUGCUGUUCUGAAUUCUGGAUAUGGCCUUGUCCGUUUCUAGUUUUGAGGAGACCUCUUAUAAUAAUUAAUUUAUUUAUUGUUUAUCGAAAAAGGAAUGACAAAGAAUCUCGAGUGCCAAUUCACAAUUGGAUAUUGAAUUUAUUAUACAAUUCCUACUGGAAUCGCUUACUUGUGUGAAAUCGGGAUUUUCUUGAUUUGCAGGCGGAAAUUUUAGGUACCCCGGUAAUAAGACCAGCUGAUAUAGAGACAACAGCCCUUGGAGCUGCCUAUGCUGCUGGAUUGGCAGUCGGCAUUUGGACAGAAAAUGAGGUAUUUUCUACUGGUGAAAAGAUGAAAAAAGACACAACUUUCCAUCCCGUUUUAGCUGAAGAAGUCAGGAAGAAGAAAGUGGCGUCCUGGUGCAAAGCCGUCGAAAGAACUUUUGACCUGGCUGAUCUUUCUCUAUAACUUUUCAUUCUCUCUUAACAGUUGCAAGUUCACCAUUUCUCACUCUUGUUUCUGGUUACUCUAGUAUAUUGAAUAAAUCGAACUUAUUCUGCCUUUUCUUUUCUUACAAGACAGACUAAAAGGAAAAAUAAUGCCAUUUGUAAAACAGAUUGAUUAACAAAUAAUUUCCUUCUAUUAAUGUGUUUUCUAGUACUUGUGCUUGUCUAAUGCUUUAGAUUGUGUAAUGGAAGACAUUGGACAAUGCUAAUGAUACAUAUUCUAGAUAACCUGGAGUAUGCGUCCCACCAAUGUAUUAGAAAAUAUACCUUGGGACGGAUGUAAAACUAAACAAAUUGCUUCUGCCUCAAGGAUCGUGGACUUUGUUGAUUGUAAGAUGUUACGGUGAGUUCACUGAAGUUAGCCAAAGUUAAUCAACAAAAUUAUGUAAAAAUGAAACAAGAAACUAAAAACAUAAGAACACGAAAGGGAACACGCGAUUUUCACCCUAAGGUAAGAGGUUCGAAACUUCGUUCCUAAUCCCCUUUUGAACUUCCAUCAAACCGGAAGAAAAUCACUAUAUCAACUGAAUCAAGAAACUGUCUAAAUUACACAUCUCAUGGCACUCAAAAACAUCACUCAAGAUAAUUUCUACAUAAGUCUCACAACAUCGACAGUGACUGUUCUCUCAAUAAUAGAAUCAAUACACCGUAAGAAAUCACUCAAGAUUAAUACAAAGUCAAUUGUCCAUGUCGAGGAAGCUUUCUAGGCAGAUUCAAAAAUUGGGAGAUUAUUAGAUGAAUUUUUCAAAGAGAAAGCACGAGAGGUAGUCAAGAGAGAGAAAAAAAAAUGAAAUGGCUGUGCCUUCAAACCCUAGUGCACGAAUAAGUAUAAAAGACCCUAGAAGAUAUUCUCAUCCAACGGUCCAUUAUGUGAAAUUUGGCAGGAUCACAAGCACCCAUCAAACUUAAGAGAAAGUGUGUUUUAAUAACACGAUUUUUUUCAAAGAAAGCAACAUUCGAUUUGUCUCUUAACAAUUCAGUCCACAAGCCCAACAUUAAGAUGGUCCAGCGGAUUUUUAAGUCAACCCAUCAUUGUGCCAAAAUUUCUCCACAUAAGAGAUGUUAACCACCUAUCUAAUGAAUUUCUUGAGUUUUGAGCCAACUUUAUGUUCGGUCAUUUUUUGUGUGAUUAAUUUGUAUCGAUUAAUUCAAUACCAAAUAUUUUAGGUUUGAACUGUUGGGGACGAAUUAUAAAAAGGGUAAUGUAUGGGUUGGUUUUUGAUAUAUUUGUUUGACCAGUUUUAACCCGCAAGAGCGUGAUCAAAACACAAUUUAUAUGAAUGAAAAUUUGGACAGAGUUUCGGUAUAAAGAUUACACAAAACAAGGAUUAAGGAGUAGAAAUAGAGAAUAAUCCAAGGCGAGACGUUAUCUCUUUCCUUAGGACAAAUUGCCCCGCUACGGUGCUCACGGUGAAUGACACUUGUCUCUCAAGAUACAAUGGAUUCACAACUUGUGGUAGCAGCACUUCAAACCACAAGAAAUCGAUGAACUUUUGACAGAAUUUCCCCUUUACAAAGGAAAUGUAUGAAAUGCUAUAGAAUUAGAAAGAAGAGAAUUGCAAGAGCAGAAUGAAUGCUCAAUGCAAUUGGUGUGUCCCGAAUCAUGUCCAUAGGAUUCUAUUUAUAGAUAUAAAAAGGGUGCAAAUGAAGUAGUGUGGGCCAAAACAUACAUCCUUUCAAAAAAGUUGCAACACUUGGCCAAAACCUGUACCUUUCGAAAAGUUGCAACACUUCAUUUCUUCCAAAUUUGGUCCGCAAUUUCUCAUUCAUUCGGAAUUGGUUUCGAGAUUUCAAAUAUACCACGACGAUCUACUCGAUGAGUAGAAUAAGUUGGUCUAUUUACUUUUAUAAUUUGACCAUCGGAUCAAGUCCAGAUAUUUGGUCGAAGUUGACACGUAGUCACACCUUUUCAUUUUCCAUUUUUACACACCUUUUCAUUUUCCAAUUUUUACACACUUUUUUAUUUAAUAUUUAUACCAAUUCCUACAAUCCCCCACAUGAAUGGAAAUUCGGGUACGUAUAUGCAAAUGCGAUGAUAUGAUGCAAUGUAGAGAGGGUGCGAAAAAAUACUGUAUCAGGGAUGGUGGCUUCUGGCCUUGAACCUCCCUUAGUGAAAUACUAUCGGACUUACUUGGCUAAUUGGUAAACCAUAGGUCUUGAACCACUUAGCCUUUGGUGUAAGUCAAGACAACAGUACUCACACAGAUAUCUUCCUUAUUCUGUACUUAGUUCUAUGACUUGGUUCAUUUUGGCCCUGAACCCUUCUUGGUUUCAUAAGUGUUUAAAGAAUUCAAACCUUAAACAAUUCUUAUCGAAGCAGCCCCACUUCACACUUACAUAGGUGACCUCCUAUUAAAAGUAUUCUGCCCUACUCCACUUGACUUAAUCAAAAUAUAGGAAUCAUUAAAAGAUAAUCUUAGCCUUUAUUUACUCUGCAGAAAGCACUUUAGUAUCAUAGGAAUGAGUUAGGAAUUCUAAUUCUCUAAGUGCUUCAUGGAAUUUUUACAACUUAGUUGUCCCUUUGAACUAAGAUCUUGGGAUCUAUUGCGGAAGCUCUCUUGAAAGAUCUUCAAAUCGGUGAUUUUUGGGCUCAGUCCAACGCACCUUUCUCAACCAACAACCAGUCCAAUCGACUCCAAACCACAACCAAUUGAUUCACCUUGGUUGUUAUUCAAUCUUACCCACGUAGGACAAGAAAUGAUAAUGAUUUAUCGCUACAAAAGCUAAGAGAAGACACCACAAAGGUAUACUAUGAAAGAACCACCAAUUGCACACGUUAUACAAAUGUUCUGGACACUUCUGGACAUCUUUUUUCUCACACAAAGGGGGGCAGUCGGGAUUCUCUUGUUUCUUCUCUCAAAAUCCCACAAUCAUCAUUAGAAAUUGGCUAGGGUUAUAUCCAUAUAUAUACCCUAGGGUUAGGCUUUAAGUUGGGCCAUUAAAGAGGUAAACGGGUCAAGAUUCAAGCCAUCCAGAAGGAAUACAAUUGGGUCGGGUGUAGCUCAUGGACUUGGUUGUUGGACUUAUUUCAUUCAUCGGCCUAUGCCUAUGAAAUAAUAUUAACCCACGUUAACAUCAUAGCCCAGGAUUUAUUGGGUAUCAAAUACCCAACAAAUCUCCACCUUGAUGCCCAAUAAAUCUGCAAGCAAUCAAAACACACAGUUAACACUUACAUAAUCAAGGUAGCCAAUAAAAUUGGAUCACAGACCUUACCUCGUGUUUUCAACUUGAAACACAUACCAUACCUGCUCCAUGUACUCACUGGGACUAAGGUCAAAAACACCCAAGUAGAAGCAAAUAUUUAACAGUAAACAAUCAAGAGCAAAUACACAUGGGAUGAUGAUAUACUAUAGGAUAACACACGCAGAUCUUUUCAGAAACACGUUCACAUAGAACCAUAGAUUAACACCAAGUCAAUUGAACUACGGUCAACCACAUAUGCAACACAUGCAUAAAUGACCCUAAAAAAAUAUCUCACCACACUUAUCCUAUCCCAUUCUGUGUUGCUCACACCUCAAGAACACAUAUCUCCUCUCAUCGCCUACCAAACUCACUAGACAGAUCACUCAACUCAUGUCUAACUGGCAAGUCACAAUAGAUCCUAAGUCCACGGGAUAAUCUUCUAUCUCCACAUCACUUCUUCCAACCUACGUGGAUAAUGGUCUCCACCUAACAGAAGUGAUAGAAGUGCCUCUCUCACACUCCACCUGAUCAGGGUCUCUUUCCAGAUAAAGGAUCCUAGACAUUUGAUCACGUCUCCACUCAUGAUCCAAAUGUCACACUCUACAUCCCAGGUACAAACCACCAUGUACCCCUAGGCAUCUAUACUCCACCUCACCAAAAGACACAUAACACACUGCUAAUGCAUCCUAACCCACUAUGCAUGCAAGCAAUUACACCAAGUAAUCCUAAUGUCUCAAAUUCAUGCAAAUGCACAUAUCAAACACAUUGAAAUGUAGCAGAUAAUUAUGCAACAAAAUUUAGACAAUCACACACACAUGCAGAAAGGAUCACACACAGAUGCAUAUGCAGUGACUAUGUCUACACUUAAUAAACCUUACUGGGGUCGUAACUCGACCCCUCAACCAAAUUCGUCUCACCUCUCAUCUUACCCUUCAACUUAUCUUUCUUCUUAGGAUAGUCCCUAAUAAAGUGUCCAGACUUACCACUACUGUAACACCUUCUAUCACUAGACUUGUCUUGUCCAUUGCCCUUCUUCUUCUACCCUUAUCACUUGAGUUAUUACUCGAAUCACUACCGUCUUGAGUUCUACCCAAAUUUAUUUGCUUAAACUUCAUCCUACUCCUCAUCAUAUGUAACUCGCCACUCCUCUUAUCCUCUUUUUCAGCUUUAAUCUUCAUCUCCUUACUCCUAAGUGAGUCUAUAACAAUCUCGGGUGUUAAGGUGUCCCUACCGUACUUAAUUGCAUUCUUAACUUCCCUAUAUGAAUUAGGCAUGAAAUUAAGUAGGAUAAUAGCCUUAUAUGUUUCAGAUACCUCUUCAUCACAAUUAACGAUGGCUUGAACUAACUUGUUAAAGACAUCUUGAUUAUCAUCAAGAUCAUUUGAAGGAUCCAUUUUAAAGUUGAAAAAUCGUUCAAGCAAGUACAAUUUAUUAGAAGUUGACUUAAGCAAAUAUAAGUCCUCUAACUUUUCCUAAAGUUGUCUUGUAGAAUCCAGUUUUCCUACUUUUCUCAAAACAGUAUCAGACGGGUGUAAAAUAAUUGAAGUGUAUUCAAGUUCAUCAUACUCUUCUUUUUGUACUUCUGUUAAAUUUGCAGAAAAUUUGCCAUUUAUGGCUUUUGAAACUUUUUGUUGGACCAAAAUACCCUUCAUCUUUUGUUGCCAAAUUGAAAAAUCUCCUUUCUCAUUAAAAAUUCCAACUUCAAAGCGUGAAAACGUUUUUAAAAACUAGAACAACCAAAAGCACAGAUAGGUCACACAAAGUUAUCCUACGAUCGCAAUAUACACCGUUCUAGAUUCCCAGGAUUUCGUAAGAUUCACGAUCUUAGAUCAAGGGAAUGUUCGAAGGGGUCAAGUUCAGGUGCUCUAACAGGAAAAUCAAUGCAACACGAAUGUAUGUAAACAAAAGUUCGAAUUUCCACGCAACAAGUCUUACACAGUGACUAUAUGACAGGUAAAACACAAAAUCAACUACCAACUUGCAAUCAAAACUCAACACUUGAAAAAAUAGAGCAAAUAAUUCCUAAAUUUUCUAGCACAAGUAAUGGUUGCCAAGCAAUGACAACCCCUAAUCCCCCCACACGAUGAUCUGCUAAUGCUGAAAUUUAAACUGAGCGGACCUAUCUGAGUCCGUAAAUUAUGAGAGUUGCGAAUUUAUUACCUUAGGACCACCACUAUUCGUCCUAAAGUCUCUGAAAACUGUAGCACCCAAAAAAAUCACGAUCGAGUCCCGAACGCUCGAAGAACAACGCUGUCCAGAUUCUUCUGCGUACCUUGAAACAGAGAACUUUCAACACGAAAAAUGUCAGAAAUAAUAUAAGGAACAAACUGCCUGAAGAGACCAUCGCCAAAAAACUCUCCAUACGCCCUCACGCGCGGCUUCUUCCCUCUGCGCGUGGUCCUCACGCGCCAUCCCACGCGUCGCCUUCGAUCGACACGCUUCGGCCUGUAGUGUUUGGCUCCUCAUGUACAUCAUGCCAGUGGUCUUCGUUUCCCCAAACUCCUUCUGGAUUGAUCAGAAAACGCGAAAAACGAAGACUGAUUUUGACAGUUUUUGAACAGCUUCUUCGAUCUGAUUUCCAAUGCGUUUCUGUCGAUUUUCUGGACAAUUUCUGGUAGAUUUCACAAACCAAAACCUUCACCUUGAAGCUCUGAUACCAAUUGUUGCGGAAGCUCUCUUGAAAGAUCUUCAAAUCAGUGAUUUUCGGGCUCAGUCCAACGCACCUUUCUCAACCAACAACCAGUCCAAUAGGCUCCAAACCACAACCAAUUAAUUCACCUUGGUUGCUAUUCAAUCUGACCCAUGUAGGACAAGAAAGGAUGAUGAUUGAUAAGUGUGUUUUUACACACUUAUUUAACUCACAAACAUGACUUAAACAUGGACAAAGUAGUUGAAUUGUGACUUAAUCUCGUUAAAUUCAUGUAAUGUAGGUGUUUCUAUGGAAAAGAUGGAAUUCAAAAGAAAAGAGUCGAAAAAGGACCAAAACGGAACAAAGCGAUAGUUCGGGGACCAAAGGUGCAAAUAUUGGAAAGUUGAGCUAAAGUGCAAAACGAGAAUAAAAAUAAGCCAAGUAUGAGCUUGAGGAUGAUACAAGACGAUCGGAGGAAGAAAGAAGUAAUAUUGGACUGAAUUGAAGAAAAGUGAAAGAUGAAGGACUAAAUUGCAAUUAAUCAAAAGAUGAGCCGAGCAAGUGAUCAAGGAAUUUAUUGACCCAAACAUCAAUUAGGAGUCAAUAUUUGAUGAUGGAACAAAGGAAAGAAAGAAAAGAGAUCAAGAAAUGAGAAAACGAAGUCCAGGGAUCAAAACAGCAAAGUUGAAAGUUACAACCUUGCGGCCGCACAAAACUGUGCCAUGCGGCCUCACAGAAGGUUGCAGGGAUUCCAUGGGCCAUUUCACUUGAACCAUGCGGCCGCAUGGCUAUAAAAAAAAAUUUCUGAACUUGCGUUUUUGAUUGAAACUCUUUCGGGGCUCCGUGAGGACAGGAUAUAAAAGCCAAAAUUCAUCAGAAAUAGGGUAGAAUGUCCAGGGAGAAGAAAAUUAUAACUUUUGGAGGCAAGAAACACAAUCUUGAAGCCGAUUCCACAAGAAUUCAAGCGGGUUUUCCAAGCUUUAUUUAAGAUUUCAAGAAAUUUUCAUACGGGUGCUAUUCUUUCAAUUUAUUAAUUUCAUUUUUUAUUCUGUAAUUAUGAAUAUUCUAGGCUAGGUUUUCAAUUCACUAGGUGAUCGAUGAACCAUUGUUUGUUAUUUUAAUUUCAUAUUUCAUGAUUUUAAUAUAAAGACUCGUUUGGACAAUUUGAUUGGUUUAUAUGCAUUGAUUUUCUUCCGCAAUUAGUGGCCAAUGAUUGUGUGAGUAUUGAUGACUUAUUUCUUACAUUCGAGAGAAGUGGAAUAGGUUCGAUAAGGUGUAAAUUAACAUAGGGUCCGAUAGGGGAUAGAGAUAUACCCCUAUGCUUUAUGCAAUUCUCUAAUUGUUCACAAAACCACAUGUAUUCUUGUAUAUUUGCAUCAUUCAUAGAGAUAUAGGCUGGUAGUGUGCAAGAAUAGGUCUAACAUAUAUCGAGAGAAUAUGUUGGAUAGAUUUAGGAACAUUGAAUUGGCAAAUUUUCAUCGGGUCAUUGAUUUUAUGAAAUUAGGGUUUUUAUAGCUUCAAUUGGGGAUUCGUGAUCCUAGUGAUUUUAUUUUGAUUCAUUUCCAUAAAUUAGCUUUUGAAUUUGCAUGAUUUCAUUUACUUGAAUGUUUGAGUCGUUUAAUUAGAAAAAUUUCGAGAUUAGGGUUCCUAAUUGAGAAAUUAGGGUUUUUAAUUGAAAUUAGGGCUUUUUGCAUUUGGAUCAUAUUUUCACUCAAUUAGAUUCGGUUAAGGCUAGAUUAUAUAGAAUUGAACUACUCAAUCUCUGUGGGAUGAUAUUCGGACUUUUAAAAAUCCACUUUAUUACUUGUCACGAUCCGUACACUUGCGGUAGUUUUAAAUCGAAAGAAUUAUUUCGUGAACAAGUUUUUGGCGUCGUUGCCGGGGAUUGAGUAUUCGUUUAAUUUUAUUCAAUUUAACACUAAUUCAUUGUUAAUUUUAUUUUAGUUCAUUUUGUUUUAUUGCUUAUUUAGUUUUAUUACUUAAGUGCUUAUUUUAGUUAUUUAAGUGUUUAAAUUGAAUUCUCUUGCAGAAGUGCAUGCCAAGAUCUGCUGAAAGAGAUCUAUUCCCAACCGAUCUAGAGAUCGAACGAAGCUUAAGAAGAAGGCAGAGAGAAAACAGAGCAGCGAAAAAUCAGAUGGAGAAUGUACAACACAAUCCUGCUGUACAAGCCAAUGAAAGAGGGGAAGAAGAUGAAGGAAACAUGCUCGUUGGAGAGUUCAUGACCCCUCAAAUCAUUCAAAGCCAGUCCAGCAUUAUAUAUCCACCGUUCGGGCAGCCAAAUUUCCAGUUGAAGACAAAUGUGAUACAACUGUUCCAGAACGAACAUCAAUUUUAUGGAAGAAUUGAAGAGAAUCCGCACACACAUGUCUCGCGUUUCUUAGAGAUGUGCCAGCACUUCAGAUAUCAAGGAAUCUCUGACGACGCCAUAAGAUUAAGACUGUUUCCACAUACUUUGCGGGACAAGGCGAUUGAAUGGCUUGAUUCUCAGCCGAUAGCCAGCAUUACUACCUGGAAUUACCUAGCUCAGAAGUUCUGUACUAAGUUCUUCCCAUUAGCCAAGAUAGCAAAGCUAAAGCACGACAUAUCUAUCUUCAGGCAAGGUGAAUCUGAGAAUUUCGAUGAGGCUUGGAGCAGAUUCAAAAAUCUACUAAGUGUCCACACCACGGGAUUAGCAAGGGACUUCAGGUCCAAUAUUUCUAUGCAGGGCUACUUCCAGCUUUCAAGAGCAUGGUCGACUCUUCGGCUAAUGGGUCAUUGUCCACGAAAACAAUUGACGAAGCAUUGAAGUUGUAUGAGACAAUGGCUACAACCUCAACAAUGUGGACCAUGGAACGAGCAGUACCAAAGAAGACACCAGGAGUUUAUGAAGUGGAUAUAUAUUAAGCAUUAUCCGCUAAGAUUGAUUCCUUAUUUCACAAGGUGGAAAACACGACUCAGUCAGCUAACGCAGCGCAGACAAAGAAGGCAAAUUGUGAGGAAUGUGGAGCUGAGCAUGUGACGGCAGAAUGUCCAAUUUUGGCACAAGAAAAAGAGCAAGUAGAUUUUGCUUAAUGGGGACAACGCCAGCAGAAUAACACGUAUAGAGAGACCUACAACCCAAGCUGGAAAAAGCACCCCAACUUUUCUUGGAGCAACCAAAAUCAGAAUAGGCCACAGGGGCAAUAUCAACAGCAAGAGAAGAAGCCUCAAUUAGAAGAAAUGUUCGGCAAAUUCAUGGAACAGACCAACCAAUAUAUGGAGGCAAACAACCAAUUCAUGAAGAAGACAGAAGCCACUCUUCAGGACCAGAAUGCAGCCAUCAAGAAUUUGGAAACUCGGAUGGGACAGAUGGCAGUUGCAUUAACAGGUAGAGCACAGGCAGCUUGCCAAGUAACACAGAAGUCAAUCCGAAAGAGCAUGCAAAGGCUAUGACAAUGAGAAGUGAAGUGCAAUUACCUGAGAGACAAGUGAAUAACCUCGAGGCAAACAGAGAAGAGAUGUCUCCUGAAGUAGAAGAGACUUUGAAGCAAGAAGAGCAGACAAAAGAGCCAACACCGAGUGCAAAUAAAAGAAACUCAAGGAAUAAAGAGACUGCAACUGUGAACCCAUAUGAGCCACCCAUACCGUUUCCACAGAGGCUAAAGAAGCAAAAGAUGGAGCAGCAAUACAAGAAGUUUCUCGAAUUCUUCAAGAAGCUCCAUAUCAACAUCUCAUUAGCUGAAGCACUGGUUCAGAUGCCUAGCUAUGCAAAAUUCCUGAAGGACAUCCUAUCAAACAAAAGGAAGCUAGGAGAUCGUGAGACAGUUAUGCUAACAGAGGAGUGCAGUGCCAGGAUUCGGAGAAAGCUCCCGCCAAAAUUGAAAGAUCCAGGGAAUUUGUCCCUUGUACCAUUGGUGAAGUUUAUUUUGAUAAAGCUUUAUGUGAUCUUGGUGCAAGUAUUAACUUAAUGCCAUUGUCUAUUUUCAGAAAAUUGGGAUUGGGAGAAGCUAAAGCUACCACGGUGACCUUACAGUUGGCUGAUAGAUCAUUGACACAUCCACGAGGAAUAAUUAAAGACGUAUUGGUUAAAGGGGAGAAGUUCAUAUUCCCAGCAGAUUUUCUGAUUCUGGAUAUGGAAGAAGAUAAAGAUGUUCCUUUAAUACUGGGCAGACCAUUCUUGGCCACAGGCAGAGCUUUGAUCGACGUUCAAAAUGGGCAGUUGAUACUAAGAUUGGGAGAAGAACAUGUUUCAUUCAAUGUCUUCAAGGCUAUGAAACUACCAAUAGAGACUGACAGUUGUUUCAGGGUUGACAUGAUCGAUAAAAUGAUUGAAGAGUCGUUUACACUGCAAAAUCCAUUAGAUGCAUUGGAGGCCUGCAUUGCACAUUCUCAAUUCACAAAAUCUGAUUCUGUGGACAUAGAAAUUUGUGCAAGAUUUUUGGAGUCCAACCCACCUUACACGUGGAAACGAUACUUUAAGGAGCUUGGGACAGGGCCUGAGAAAUCACAGCCAUCUAUUCUGAAGCCACCAAAGGUAGAACUUAAGUAGCUGCCCCCACACCUAAGAUACACAUAUUUGGAAGAGUCUAAUACACUUCCAGUGAUAAUUUCAAACAUGGUUAGUGAAGUGGAGGAGGAAAAACUGCUUAGGGUGCUUAGAGAUAACAAGUAAGCAAUUGGGUGGACCAUAGCAGAUAUCAAAGGGAUCAGCCCUUCCUUAUGUAUGCAUAAAAUUCUCAUGGAGGAGAAUUUUUGACCAACGGUUGAAAGUCAAAGGAGGCUAAACCCAAACAUGAAGAAGGUGGUAAGAACUGAGGUGAUCAAACUUCUGGAUGCUGGAAUAAUCUACCCGAUAUCAGAUAGUAAAUGGACUAGUCCAGUGCAAGUUGUGCCCAAGAAAGGAGGAAUUACAGUGGUUCAGAAUGAAAAGAAUGAGUUGAUUCCGACAAGGACGGUAACAGAGUUUGCAUUUAUUACCACAAACUAAAUACCGCUACAAGAAAAGAUCACUUCCCUCUUCCGUUUAUAGAUCAGAUGUUGGAGAGAUUGGCAGGCCAUUUUCACUACUGUUUUCUGGAUGGGUAUUCGGGUUAUAAUUAGAUACCAAUGGCACCGGAUGAUCAGGAGAAGACCACAUUCACAUGCCCCUAUGGUACCUUUGCAUACCGAAGAAUGCCAUUUGGACUUUGCAAUGCUCCUGCCACAUUUCAGCGAUGCAUGAUGGCAAUUUUCUCAGAUAUGGUGGAGAAAUUCAUUGAAAUCUUUAUGGAUGACUUCUUGGUCUUUGGGACCUCAUCUGAUGAGUGUUUGGAGCGCUUAAACUUGGUUUUGCAAAGAUGCAGAGAAACGAACUUAGUAUUGAAUUGAGAGAAAUGUCAUUUCAUGGUUCAAGAGGGAAUAGUCUUGGGACAUAGAGUAUCGGCAAAGGGGAUAAAGGUGGAUAAGGCGAAAAUUCAGGUUAUUGACAAACUGCCACCAUCUACAUCAGUAAAAGGAGUUCGAAGCUUCCUUGGGCAUGCAGGGUUUUACAGGAGGUUUAUAAAGGACUUCUCCAAAAUCACCAAGCUUCUGUGCAACUUGCUAAUGAUAGAGGUAUCUUUUGAGUUUAAUGAGGAAUGUUUGAUAGCGUUCAAUACUUUGAAGCAAAAACUAACAACAACGCUUGUGAUUGUGUCACCUGAUUGGGAUUUGCCCUUUGAGCUAAUGUGCGAUGCGAGUGAUCAUGCAGUUGGUGUGGUAUUGGGACAAAGAAAGAAUAAAAUCUUUCAUGUGAUAUACUAUGCAAGUAGAACUUUGAACGAUGCCCAAAUCAACUAUGCGACAACCGAGAAGGAAUUGCUAACUGUGGUUUAUGCAUUCGACAAGUUCAGAUCGUAUCUUGUUGGGUCUAAGGUCAUCGUCUACACAGAUCAUGCCGCUAUGAAGUACCUUAUAACAAAGAAGGAUGCUAAGCCGAGAUUGAUCCAUUGGAUAUUGUUGUUGCAAGAGUUCGAUAUUGAGAUCAAGGAUAAGAAGGGCAGUGAAAAUGUGGUAGCCGACCAUCUAUCAAGAUCGGAAUGGGAUGAACCUGAGAUGUCAGUUGCUAUCAAUGAAAUCUUUCCAGAUGAGCAAAUUUUUGGAGUAGAAAAAGUCCCAUGGUACGCUGAUAUUGUUAACUACCUUGCUAAGUCCAUUCCUCCACCCGAGUAUUCUAGCCAUCAAAGAAAGAAGUUCUUCGCAGAGCUGAAGUAUUACUUUUGGGAGGAUCCCAUUCUCUACAGAAGAGGUGCAGAUCAGAUAGUCAGAAGAUGCAUUCCUGAAGAUGAAGUACCGGAGAUUCUAGAGCAUUGUCACUCUUCUGCAUAUGCUGGGCAUUUUGGAGCUUCAAAGACUGCUGCAAAGAUCCUACAGUCGGGUUUCUAUUGGCCUACUUUAUUCAGAGACACAUUUGAGUAUGUGAAGAGAUGCGAUAGAUGCCAACGAAUCGGAAAUAUCUCAAGAAGAAAUGAGAUGCCACUAAACUACAUCUUGGAGGUUGAAAUAUUUGAUGUAUGGGGAAUAGACUUCAUGGGACCUUUUCCCCCAUCGUACUCAAAUCAAUAUAUCUUAGUGGCUGUUGACUAUGUCUCUAAGUGGGUGGAAGCUGUUGCAUUGCCUACCAACGACGCAAAAGUGGUAAUAAAGUUCUUGAAGAAGUACAUAUUUAAAAGAUAUGGUACACCGAGGGCGAUAAUAAGUGAUGGAGGCAAACACUUCAUAAAUUGUCAAUUAGAGCAGUUGUUGAACAAAUAUGGGGUGAAACAUAAAGUAGCAACUCCAUAUCAUCCACAAACCAAUGGGCAAGUUGAAGUUUCGAACAAGCAGUUAAAGAGAAUACUGGAAGUUACAGUGAACUCAUCUCGAAAAGAUUGGUCUAAGAAGUUGGCCGAUGCACUGUGGGCUUACAGAACAGCGUUUAAGACACCAAUAGGAAUGUCUCCAUACCGCCUGGUUUUUGGGAAAGCGUGUCAUCUACCAUUGGAGUUGGAGCACCGAGCAUAUUGGGCUAUGAAACAGUUGAAUAUGGAUCUCAAGGCUGCUGGUGAAAAACGACUGCUGCAACUUAAUGAAUUGGAUGAGUUGAGAAUGGAAGCUUACGAGAACUCAAAGUUGAUCAAGGAGCGCACCAAGAGAUGGCAUGAUUUACACAUUCAGAGGCGAGAGUUUGAAGUUGGCCAGAAAGUGUUAUUAUACAAUUCUAGACUCAAACUUUUUCCCAGGAAAGCUAAGAACAAGGUGGUCGGGUCCCUACACCAUAACUAAGGUGAUGCAAUAUCGGGCUAUUGAAGUGAGUCACUAGACCAAAGGCACAUUUAUCGUUAAUGGGCAAAGACUAAAACAUUAUUGGGGCUGUAACUUCCCUAAGCAGAAGUCCACUGUGCAACUCAGCAACCCAACGUAAAGAAGACAUAAGAAAGUCGAGCUAUCGACUAUAAACUAGCGCUAGGUGGGAGGCAACCCACUGUAUCCUUCAAUUUAUUUUAUUGCAUUAGUUUAGGAAUUUGUUUAAAUUUCGUAUGUUUUACUAGGUCAUCGAUCAUUCACGCAUGAUAGUCUAGGCACUACACGUUUAUAGUUGCAUGAGUCGGGGCUAAAUAAAGUAUUUUGGGUGUUUGAGUGUGAAGUAAUGCAUUUCGAGGUUCAAAGUCAUUCGUUUUAUUUUAUUUUAUUUUUCGAGAUGCUUUUCAAAUUUUUUUUGUAAAGAAUUGGUUUUGGUGCCAAGUUUUCGAUAAGCAUAUUCCCUUUCAAGUCAAUUUUUUUUUUCGGAAUAUGGCGAGUCGAGUCAAUUUUGCAAUUGAAAACCAAUUUUGGGGGAUUUUUAAAUUUCAAGUUGUGUUUGAGGUUAUAAUUGUAAGUUUUCCUUAGUUAUGAAAAUAAAAAAAAAAUUUGCUUUGUCCAUGCAGCCGCAUGGACCCCUACCGAAACAACAAAAGGGGGCCUCAACUACACCAUGUGGUUGCAUGGUGUAACACCAUGCGGCCGCAUGGUGUAUAAGUGACCGGUUUUAAACCCGUCACUUGCAAAACACUCCCAUCUUCCCCCACUUCACUUUUCACACGAACACUCCCAUUUUUCUCCCCAAUCCACCUUCACACGAGCACAAUCAAUUAAACAAGCAUCCACUCUUCAUCUAAGCACCACAUUAUUCUCUUCAUUGGCAUUAAUAUCAAGAACAUUGAAGCAAAAUUCUCCACUUUCAUCUCACACAAAGCUCUCAAGGUAAGAAAUUUAACUUUCUAUGCAAAGAUUGAAGUACUUCUUUGAUUUUAUGAACUUUUCGAAUUGGUUGAGUGUUAAAUUAGAUUAAGUUGUGAUUUGUGGAUUAGCUCUAAGUGUAGAUCAAUAACAAUGUGUAAGGAAUUCCCAAUGCACACAACGUGUUUGAUUAAAUGUCAAUGAGAUAUAUGAUUUGAAAUUUUGGACUUUGCAUUUGUGUGAUGAUUUACAUUGUUAUUGUGAGGCGUAAUUGACGAAAAAUCUCAUGGAAUUUCAUUAGAACACAUUCACCUCACAUAUUGUUGCACAUAAACACAUAAUUGCUAAGCCAUGUCAACUCACGUCACUAACUUCGUCCAUGUAUUUUCCUAACCAAACGACCUCCGAUUGUAGUGAAAUUUGGAUAUAUGCUAGACCACAAUGAGUACUUUCAUAUGUCUAGACCUUGUCCGGGGAAAUUUCAAUAUUUCUCGGUGAUGCUUGGGGUUGAGAUGGUCACUUAGUCAUGGGUCGAAUGUUCAAAAAGUGCAUGUUAGAGCCAUAGUUUUGAGUUUUUCUCAUUAAUGCAAUAUUGAUGUUACAUUGACUUCCAUAUGUUGAAUAUUGCACACAUUUUGAAGAAAGUUUGGGAGAUUCUGGCAUGUCAAUGAUAUUCUUUAUCACUUUCUUAUUUCAAAAACUUGAUACACUUUGUUCCUUACUUUUGUAGGAUGCCGCCAAAGAGAACCUCAAAGGGAAAAGAAAAAGUUGGUUCCUCCUUCGGUACAGCCCGCACCAGAGAGCUAAUAGGAGGUGUACGAAGAUUCCGAAAUGCAGAAACAUUAGCUCGAUACAAGAACAUGAUACGUCGUUAGGGCAUGAUACCAGAGAGACAGGUCCAGUUAGAGGACUUUCGUGGUUUUGAGUUGACAAAUCUGAUACAAAUCUGUGGAUAGGAUAAGAUUGUAGAAAAGCCACACCCGGUUUAUGAAAGUAUAGUCCACGAAUUUUAUGCAAACUUCAAUAGUGAAAUUGAGACUCCGGAUUCUGAACACUUACACCAGACGUGGGUGCGAGGUAAGUGGAUAAUGUUCUCCCCAACCGUCAUUCAUGAUUUUUACAAUCUUAAUUUGGACAAUGUGGUCCCGAUUCCCACUCAAUUCAAUUGGAAUAAAGUGGCGGAGGUUCUCUUGGGAAGAGAAAAUGCUUGGCCCCUUCCCACAGCAGAAUGGCAUCAAAUUGAGCUUACUCCCUCUAUAGCCAUCCUCUGGGUCUUCAUGUGCCAUAAUAUCGAACCCACAUCGCAUCGGACAACUUUCACGGAUCAAACUGCUGGGUUCAUAUAUCAUUUAGUCCGGGGAUGCAAAGUUGAUUUAGCUACUCUUAUCUAUGACCAGAUACAGAAUUUGGGGACCUGGGGAGAUAGGCGGUCUUCGAUGAUCUUCCCUAGUCUAAUUAGCAGGAUAUGUCUCACCGCCGGUGUUACAGUUGAGGCAGGGGAGAUGCCUGAGACAUUAAGCCCACUGAUAAAGCACACAAUAUUUGAAGCUCAGGAACAAGCUAGGGUGAGGAAGAGAGAACAAGACCGACUUGAGCAGCAAAGACAUAAUGAGCAGAGAGAAGGACAAGUAGCUGAAAAUAUACACCUGCCACAAGCCCCGCCACAACCAGCUGAAAUGGAUUCGCAACUACUUCGACAGAUAUUUGCCACCGCCACUGGAACUAACAAGGAUAUGCAAAAUCUCCAGCAGAGGUUCGAGACGAUGACCACCACUGUUGAAAAAGUGCAGAGAGACCCUUACUCCUCCCGAGACUACAUAUUAAGCGCUAUGAAGGAAGCCACGGCUGCGAGAAGGGAAGUAGAGACUAUGAAUGGUAGGUUCAACAUGUGCGCUAGGAGAAUGGAUGGCAUACAGUGGCGUGUGAACGAAACUUGGGAUCGUUUGAGAGGUAUGGAAAGUAGGCUUCAAGCCAUUCAGGCCGAGCAAGCACAACAGUCCGAGUUGCUGAGACAACUCUUAUCUCGCCUCCCAUCUCCUCCUGAAGAUGAUGUUGCGGGUCCCAACUUCACACCACAGCCACCGAAUUGAUCAGGGGCGUUUUAUUAAUCUCUUAUUGCUAAGUUGUGUCCAUGUUUUAAAUUCUGCCAUUUUAACUUUAUAUUUUACAUUGAGGACAAUGUAUUGAAUAAGUUUGGGGGAUGGUAGCAUAAUUUCAAACAAAUAUUCGGCAUGUAAUUAUUUUGCAUAUUCACAAUCCAUCGUUAAUUUUGACAAGUUUUUGCAUGAUGCAUGCUUGAUGAGUGAGUCUUGAUGAACUUUUGCAUGCUUGUGUGGGUUUGGUAGCCUUGCCGGCUAUGAUGUAAUUAUUGGACAUGUAUAAAUUAGAAACUGUGGAUUUAGUGCAGGAUUUAAUUUGCUAAUACUUGUUGAUGCAUUGCUUGACAUUCUUUUGCACGCCACUCAUGCUUCACGUGUUAAGUUAUUAAUUGGAAUUCUAAAACAAAUUAGGAGAAACCUAGAAUAACCCUCUAUAAUAUUAACCCGUAAUACCACUUUGAGAUAGUUUGGAGAUGGUUGAGCCAUUAUAAGAAAACAUGGAGAUAAGUGGGGGCUCUGUGCAUGAAAUUAUACUGUGUGGAUUGUUUAGACCCGGAAGGUGAGAAAUAGGUGAAAUCUUUAAGUUGAGGAUGGUUUUGGAAGUCAAAUGUCUAGAAAAACAAAGAAGGGGCAUAAAAUAAAAAUUGAAAAAUCAUCACUUCUCUCAAAAGCCUUUAUGACUCGAGUAAGUAAGUCUGUAAGGGUUUAAAACCUGAUGUCCUAAAGUCAACUGGUUUGGGAGUCAUCGACCUAAAGCUCGUUACAAGGGUCAUAUAGAAAGCAAGAAAAUGGAGAAAUUGAUAAAAAGUCUUCUUAUCGAGCCUUUAUAACUAGAGUGAAUAAGAUUGCAAGGGUUUAAAACCUGGUGCCCUAAAGCCAACUAGUUUGGAAGUCAUCACCUAAAGCUCGUUACAUGGGUUAUAUAGAAAGCAAAUGAGAAGAUGACACAAAAAAACCCUUGUUGGACAUUUGGUUUAUAGAACUAUAACUUUGAUGCGAGGCAAGUAGCUUAGUUUAAUCCUAAAGGUCGAAGCAAUCAAAAUAAGGAGAGCCUCUACUUGUUGAUAUGUGAACUUGUAAUGGUAAAAUCUAUCCAAACUAAGAGAGGGUAAGGAUUAAAAUUGUUUAAACUCCUAACCUUAGAAUACACCCUGGAGUAAUUGAGUGAAAAGAAUACAUUUGGGGGUUGUGUAUAUCUCGAGUGAUGUAAGGAUAAAUUUGACCACUAUGGGUUGGGAAUAAACUAAUCAUAAGCUUGAUAUGUUGGCAUGAGUUCACACACACACGUUGAGUAUUGCAUUUGAUGAGUAAAGGUUGAUUCAAUUCUCGCACUUUUGAUAUUGUUUAUAUUAUUAUUACUAAGUUCCAAUCCUGAGACACGACAAGCUAUUAAGCCAUGUUUGUUUAGCAUUAAGUCACUACAUUGUUUGAGGACAAACAAUAGUUUAAGUUUGGGGGAUUUGAUAAGUGUGUUUUUACACACUUAUUUAGCUCACAAACAUGACUUAAACAUGGAUAAAAUAGUUGAAUUGUGACUUAAUCUCGUUAAAUUCAUGCAAUGUAGGUGAUUCUAUGGAAAAUAUAGAAUUCAAAAGAAAAAAGCCGAAAAAUGACCAAACGGAACAAAGCGAUAGUUCGGGGACCAAAGGUGCAAAUAUUGGAAAGUUGAGCUAAAGUGCAGAACGAGAAUGAAAAUAUGCCAAGUAUGAGCUUGAAGAUGAUACAAGACGAUCAGAGAAAGAAAGAAGUAAUAUUGGACUGAAUUGAAGAAAAGUGAAAGAUGAAGGACUAAAUUGUAAUUAAUCAAAAGAUGAGCCGAGCAAGUGAUCAAGGAAUUGAUUGACCUAAACGUCAAUUAGGAGUCAAUAUUUUAUGAUGGAACAAAGGAAAGAAAGAAAAGAGAUCAAGAAAAGAGAAAACGAAGUUCAGGGACCAAAACAGCAAAGUUGAAAGUUACAACCUUGCGGCCGCACAGAACUGUACCUUGCAGCCGCACAGAACUGUGCCAUGCGGCCACACAGAAGGUUGCAGGGAUUCCAUGGGCCAUUUCACUUGAACCAUGCGGUCGCAUGGUUUAACACCAUGCGGCCGCAUGGCUAUAAAAAAAAAAAAAAAAGAACUUGCGUUUUUUAUUGAAACUCUUUCGGGGUUCCGUGAGGACAGGAUAUAAAAACCAAAAUUCAUUAGAAAUAGGGUAGAACGUCCAGAGAGAAGAAAAUUACAACUUUUGGAGGCAAGAAACACGAUCUUGAAGCCGAUUCCACAAGAAUUCAAGCGGGUUUUCAAGGUUUUAUUCAAGAUUUCAAGAAAUUUUCAUACGGGUGCUAUUCUUUCAAUUUAUUAAUUUCGUUUUUUAUUCUGUAAUUAUGAAUAUUCUAGGCUAGGUUUUCAAUUCACUAGGUGAUCGAUGAACCAUUGUUUGUUAUUUUAAUUCCAUAUUUCAUGAUUUUAAUAUAAAGACUUGUUUGGACAAUUUGAUUGGUUUAUAUGCAUUGAUUUUCUUCCGCAAUUAGUGGCCAAUGAUUGUGUAAGUGUUGAUGACUUAUUUCUUACAUUCGAGAGAAGUGGAAUAAGUUCGAUAAGGUGUAAAUCAACAUAGGGUCCGAUAGGGGAUAGAGAUAUACCCCUAUACUUUAUGCAAUUCUCUAAUUGUUCACAAAACCACAUACAUUCUUGUAUAUUUGCAUCAUCCAUAGAGAUAUAGGCUGGUGGUGUGCAAGUAUAGAUCUAAUAUAUAUCGAGAGAAUAUGUUGGAUAGAUUUAGGAACAUUGAAUUGGCAAAUUUCCAUCGGGUCAUUGAUUUUAUGAAAUUAGGAUUUUUAUAGCUUCAAUUGGGGAUUCGUGAUUCUAGUGAUUUUAUUUUGAUUCAUUUCCAUAAAUUAGUUUUUGAAUUUGCAUAAUUUCAUUUACUUGAGUGUUUGAGUCGUUUAAUUAGAGAAAUUUCGAGAUUAGUGUUCCUAAUUGAGAAAUUAGGUUUUUAAUUGAAAUUAGGGCUUUUUGCAUUUGGAUCAUAUUUUCACUCAAUUAGAUUCAGUUAAGGCUAGAUUAUAUAGAAUUGAACUACUCAAUUUCUGUGGGAUGAUAUUCGGACUUUUAAAAAUUCACUUUAUUACUUGUCACGAUCCGUACACUUGUGGUAGUUUUAAAUCGAAAGAAUUAUUUCGUGAACAAUGAUUUAUCGCCACAAAAGCUAAGAGAAGACACCACAAAGGUAUACUAUGAAAGAACCACCAAUUGCACACGUUAUACAAACGUUCUGAACACUUUUGGACACCUUUUUUCUCACGCAAAGGGGGGCAGUCGGGAUUCUCUUGUUUCUUCUAUCAAAAUCACACAAUCAUCAUUAGAAAGUGGCUAGAGUUAUAUCCACAUAUAUACUCUAGGGUUAGGCUUUAAGUUGGGCCAUUAGAGAGGUAAACGGGCCAAGAUUCAAGCCAUCCAGAAGGAAUAUAAUUGGGCCGGGAGUACCUCAUGGUAAAGACUUGUUUGGACAAUUUGAUUGGUUUAUAUGCAUUGAUUUUCUUCCGCAAUUAGUGGCCAAUGAUUGUGUAAGUGUUGAUGACUUAUUUCUUACAUUCGAGAGAAGUGGAAUAAGUUCGAUAAGGUGUAAAUCAACAUAGGGUCCGAUAGGGGAUAGAGAUAUACCCCUAUACUUUAUGCAAUUCUCUAAUUGUUCACAAAACCACAUACAUUCUUGUAUAUUUGCAUCAUCCAUAGAGAUAUAGGCUGGUGGUGUGCAAGUAUAGAUCUAAUAUAUAUCGAGAGAAUAUGUUGGAUAGAUUUAGGAACAUUGAAUUGGCAAAUUUCCAUCGGGUCAUUGAUUUUAUGAAAUUAGGAUUUUUAUAGCUUCAAUUGGGGAUUCGUGAUUCUAGUGAUUUUAUUUUGAUUCAUUUCCAUAAAUUAGUUUUUGAAUUUGCAUAAUUUCAUUUACUUGAGUGUUUGAGUCGUUUAAUUAGAGAAAUUUCGAGAUUAGUGUUCCUAAUUGAGAAAUUAGGUUUUUAAUUGAAAUUAGGGCUUUUUGCAUUUGGAUCAUAUUUUCACUCAAUUAGAUUCAGUUAAGGCUAGAUUAUAUAGAAUUGAACUACUCAAUUUCUGUGGGAUGAUAUUCGGACUUUUAAAAAUUCACUUUAUUACUUGUCACGAUCCGUACACUUGUGGUAGUUUUAAAUCGAAAGAAUUAUUUCGUGAACAAUGAUUUAUCGCCACAAAAGCUAAGAGAAGACACCACAAAGGUAUACUAUGAAAGAACCACCAAUUGCACACGUUAUACAAACGUUCUGAACACUUUUGGACACCUUUUUUCUCACGCAAAGGGGGGCAGUCGGGAUUCUCUUGUUUCUUCUAUCAAAAUCACACAAUCAUCAUUAGAAAGUGGCUAGAGUUAUAUCCACAUAUAUACUCUAGGGUUAGGCUUUAAGUUGGGCCAUUAGAGAGGUAAACGGGCCAAGAUUCAAGCCAUCCAGAAGGAAUAUAAUUGGGCCGGGAGUACCUCAUGGACUUGGUUGUUGGACUUAUUUUAUUCAUCGGCCCAUGUCUAUGAAAUAAUAUUAACCCACGUUAAUAUCAUAGCCCGAAAUUUAUUGGGUAUCAAAAGCCCAUCAGGAUCUCCAGUCAACAAAGUAGGGUUACCAUUACAAAAACUCUUACGUAGUAGGCUUUAAUCCCAUUCCUCUGGCUAGGCAACGCAUUUGAUCUCUAGGCAAACUUUUCGUCAGUGGAUCCGCAAUAUUCUUCUUUGAUUUCACAUAAUCUAUGGAGAUAACGCCAUUUGAGAUCAGUUGCUUAAUGGUGUUGUGUCUACGACGAAUAUAUCUUGACUUACCAUUAUACAUGCUGCUUCGAGCCCUUCCAAUUGCCGAUUGACUAUCACAAUGUAUACUUAUCGCAGGUACUGGCUUGGGCCAAUAUGGAACAUUUUUUAAGAAAUUUCAAAGUCAUUCUACUUCUUCUCCAACUUUUUCUAAAGCAAUAAACUCAGAUUCCAUCGUUGAUCGAGCUAUGCACGUUUGUUUUGUUGAUUUUCAUGAUACAACAGCUCCACCAAUGAUGAAUACAUAACCAUUAGUGGACUUGGAAACCUGCGUAGUUAUUUUAAUUCUUUAUUGUUUAUUUCAAUUCUUUAUUUAAUUAAUUUGGAUUAUUUAUAUUUAAUUAGUUAUUUAAAUAAAUUAUUUUGAAUAUUUAUAUUUCUUAUUUAAUUACUUAUUUAAAUAAAUUAAAUAAAUUAUUUUGAAUAUUUAUUUCAAUUAAAUUUUAAUUACAUAUUUUGAUUAUUAACAUUUAUUCAUUAUUUAUAUUUUUUAUUUAUCAUUUAAAUAAUUAUUUAAUUAUUAUUUAAAUGUUCAUUAUGUAUUUUUGUGCAUUUCAAUUAAUUAUUUAUUCUAAUUGUUUUUCAUUUAUUUGUUUCAAUUGUUCAUCUAAAUUAUUUGAUUUAAUUAUUUAUAUCGAUUGAUUAUUUAUUGAACAAGUAAACGUAAAUAUUUAAUUAUUUAUUUUAAAUGUUAGAAAUUAUUUCAAUUAAAUUUUAAUUACAUAUUUUGAUUAUGAACAUUUAUUCAUUAUUUAUUAUUUUCAUUUAUCAUUUAAAUAAUCAUUUAUUUAUUAUUUAAAUGUUCAUUAUUUAUUUUUGUGCAUUUAAAUUAAUUAUUUAUUCCAAUUAUUUUUCAUUUACUUGUUUCAAUUGUUCAUUCAAAUUAUUUGAUUUAAUUAUUUAUAUUGAUUGAUUAUUUAAAUUAUUUAUUGAACAAGUAAUCGUAAAUAAUUAAUUUUUAUUUUAAACGUUGGAAAUUUAUUUCAAUUAAAUUUCAAUUAUAUAUUUGAUUAUUAAUGUUUAUUCAUUAUUUACAUUUUUCAUUUAUCAUUUAAAUAAUCAUUUAAUUAUUAUUUAAAUGUUCAUUAUUUAUUUUUGUGCAUUUAAAUUAAUCAUUUAUUCCAAUUAUUUUUCAUUUAUUUGUUUCAAUUGUUCAUUUAAAUUAUUUGAUUAAUUAUUUAUAUUGACUGAUUAUUUAAAUUAUUUAUUGAACAAGUAAACGUAAAUAUUUAAUUAUUUAUUUUAAAUGUUAGAAAUUUAUUUUAAUUACAUAUUUUGAUUAUUAAAAUUUAUUCAUUAUUUACAUUUUUCAUUUAUCAUUUAAAUAAUCAUUUAAUUAUUAUUUAAAUGUUCAAUAUUUAUUUUUGUGCAUUUAAAUUACAUAUUUAUUUCAAUUGUUUGUUUAAAUUAUUUGAUUUAAUUAUUUAUAUUGACUGAUUAUUUAAAUUAUUUAUUGAACAAGUAAUUGUAAAUAAUUAAUUUUUAUUUUAAGUGUUAGAAAUUUAUUUCAAUUAAAUUUUAAUUACAUAUUUGAUUAUUAAUGUUUAUUCAUUACAUUUUUCAUAUAUCAUUUAAAUAAUUAUUUAAAUGUUCAUUAUUUAUUUUUGUCCAUUUAAAUUAAUUAUUUAUUUCAAUUGUUUUUCAUUUAUUUGUUUCAAUUGUUCAUUCAAAUUAUUUGACUUACUUAUUUAUAUUGAUUGAUUAUUUAAAUUAUUUAUUGAACAAGUAAAUAUAAAUAUUUAAUUAUUUAUUUUAAAUGUUACAAAUUUAUUUCAAUUAAAUUUUAAUUACAUAUUUUGAUUAUUAACAUUUAUUCAUUAUUUACAUUUUUCAUUUAUCAUUUAAAUAAUCAUUUUAUUAUUAUUUAAAUGUUCAUUAUUUAUUUUUGUGCAUUUAAAUUAAUUAUUUAUUUCAAUUGUUUUUCAUUUAUUUGUUUCAAUUGUUCAUUUAAAUUAUUUAAUUUAAUUAUUUAUAUUGAUUGAUUAUUUAAAUUAUUUAUUGAAAAAAUAAACGUAAAUAUUUAAUUAUUUAUUUUAAAUGUUAGAAAUUUAUUUCAACUAAAUUUUAGUUAUAUAUUUUGAUUAUUAAUAUUUAUUUAUUAUUUACAUUUUUAUUUAUCAUUUAAAUAAUUAUUUAUUUAUUAUUUUAAUAUUCAUUAUUUAUUUUUGUAUAUUUAAAUUAUUUAUGAAAUACAACGAUAAAAAAAAUUGCGGGAAGCCCAGUUGUCGUCUGGAAAAGACGGCCCAACAGAUUGUCUAAACAGGCGGCUCAGCUGUCUGUAAAAACAGACUGCUGGGCGGACUGUAAACAGACAUCCCGGACGUCUGGGCCGACUGUAAGCCGACGGCCCAGCCGUAAACCGACGGCCCGGACUGCUGGGCCUCCUGUUUUCCAGACGGCUUAGAAACGGACGGCCCAGACGAGACCUGAAGCACAGAGGCGAAGCAGAGGACACCUGCAGUUCUGGCCGAGCUUCAUGAUCCAAUGGAAGGCUUGGAGGAAAUAGCCAACGAGAGUGGGGUUAAAGGAUACGCUUAUUGUGGUGGGCUUGGUCAUCGUAUCCGUGAUUGCCCCAAGUUAGAGCAUCAGAAGAGCAUGCAAAUUAUUAGCUCGAGGAGGGAUUAUUUCGGGUCUGGAGGUUACCGAGGGGAGAUGUGAUCGGAAGUUUUUAGACAUAUGAAUUUGUAUUUUGCAAAUAUUUUGAGCAACUCCUUCAAUUCGUAAUGAGCCGACUAUAUAUGUACUUGAAUUUUCGGCAGUGCUUUCAGUUUGAAUGAGCUUCUUUAUCAUUAAUAUUUUUGGUUUUUUUGCUCC